This 86801-nucleotide long non-coding RNA is filed under the name Vitis vinifera (wine grape). RNAcentral's name for it is "long non-coding RNA (VVIN_LNC000958)". Lineage: Eukaryota; Viridiplantae; Streptophyta; Magnoliopsida; Vitales; Vitaceae. The record is from RNAcentral.
UUGAUCACCUUCUCCUAAACACGUACAUUCACGUGUUUAGGAAUGCAACGGCUAGAAUUUUCUAGCUGUAUUUAAGUAUUAUUUUUAGAAAAAAAAAACUAAAAAAAAACAACCAGUGCAUUCAUUUAAUGUUAUCUUAAAUCAGCCAUACACAAAUAAAUGAAUGCUCAGCUUUAUGUUCUAAGACCUUCCCCUGUAGUUUAGGCUGCAGUUGAGGCAUGAUACCAAAUAAAUUGAACAUUUUAAGCACAGAGUAUGGAGAAAUCAAGGGGCAGAGGUAUGAAUGAAAAUAUUUGGCUGGUGGAGGAAUGAUAGAAUUCUAUGAGCAUUUCAAAAAUUAAUAUCUUAUGAUAUAUUGGAAUCUCUUACCAUAAUUUUCCAUAAUUCAAGUGUGUUUUAAUGCUCCAAAGUUGGAUGAUACAUAACCUUUAUAAAAGGACUACAUAGCUAUACAUGCAUUACCAUUUUCAUUAUUAUUUUGAUUUUGAAGGAACUUGAGCAUUGAAGUUUGUUCUGAUUAUGAUACCGAAGAGAUACCUAUUGAAAAGCAUGAUCGGAGUAUAUCAUUUAAAUUUCAUUGUUUUAUACCAUGAUGUUAUUCAUUUGCACACAAUCUCAAUUUUUAUACGUUAGUCUCAUCAUUUGUAUUUUCAUCUAAAAACCUAAAUUUUUCAUACAUAUUGAAGUUAUAAAAAAUUGAACCAUCAAGAGAAUAGUCUACCUCAAAACCUGAAGGUGAUGUGCAAAUCCAUCUCACCCCAAAAUAUAAGGGUCAUAAAAAGAUAUGACUUCCACACUUGCAGGUUGACCUGACCGAUCGACCUACACCUAAAAAGGUGAACACAACUGCUCUUAUUCUCAUAUGCCUAAAAGUCAAUAAAGUAUAAAAAGUCUGGAACAAUCUAUAGUAAUAAUAGAGCAAUGGACUAUAUAAAGCCCUCACCAUGAAGUAAUAAGACAUAAGAUAGCUUCCGUAAUCACUUAGAAAUUGGUGUAAAAAUUCUCAUAAAAAUCCUCCCCUUGUGGGAAAUUCUUCCCUAUAUCUGGUAAGGUAUAAUGAAAUUUUAGUUAUCCUAAAAGAUUUUGAGCAUCUUCACACAUGACACAUCUAAUAUUGAAGAUGGGGAAUUUAGCGGUAUCUCUUCAAUUAGAUUUUUCAUUUUUUUUUUCUUUUUUCCUAAAUGUGAGACCCCGACCCCAACUAAUAAAUGGGGGAAACAUGGGAGGGAUGGGAGUAUGAAUGAGUAGAUAGUGGUUAGGAUGUCAAUCUCCAAACAACGAUUUGUGGUAGGGUUGAAUUAGCAAGUGAGUUGGAUACACCCAUCUCAAUCAUCUGCAAUCCAUUGAACCUUCAUCUUCUCAUAUGUGUAGUCAGCUUCUGUGGAAUUGAGAAGCAACAAGAUAUAUAUGGUGUAUCCUUAUGGAUCCUCCCUCUUUAAUUGCUAUGUAUGACUGCCCAUCGCCCAAAAAGGGCACAAAAAGUUGGGGGAAAAUUUCUAUGAUGUAUUAUUGGUCAUGUUUGAUAAUGAAAAUGACCUAAGAAUCUACUAUAUACCAUUUAAAUUCUAAUUUGACCUUGUUCCAUACAAGAAGUAUUUUUAUGCUAAUAUCUUGUUUGGAUUGAUGUUUGAGAAGUAAAAAAGUUGCCUUUUAAGCAAAAUUUGUCGUCCCAUGGAAUAAUUACUCAUGACUAACUAAGAAUUUUAUUGUCCCGCAGAAUUAGUAAUUAUUUUUUAUGGACAUCCAACAAUUAGACCCCAAAUAUUCGUUUGUGAGUAUAUAACGUAAAGAUACUCAAAAUUUUUUAAAUUAGGUUAUAUUAUAAUAUCUUGUCAUGUCGAUAUCAUGUAUUUAUGUUAUACCUAUAUUUCAUGACAAAAAUAAUAAUUUUGGAAAUGUCUAUGUAUACUUUACUAGUGACAUUAAUUUUGACACAUCAUAUUAGCAUAAUCAAUCAAUGAAAUUGCUUAAUAAUUUUUUAUUAAAAAAUUACGAGUCUUCUAAAUUUAAAUUAGUAUUUUUUUUAAAAAAAAUUGAUUCAUAGUAUAAGUAUAUUAGUGAGUAUAAUAUAACAAACAAAAUUGUCAGUUGCAUAAAAAAGUUCAAAAUCUUUUAAAUUAGGUCUUGUUAUGAUGUAUUAUGAUAUAGUGCAUUUUUGUCAUCUUAAUAAAUGUUAUAAACAAAAAUAACUUUGAUUUAUAACGUUUUCUUUUCAAUUAUGCUCCCCAUUUAUAUAAUUAUUUUUUAAAAAUAACCAUAAAAUAAAAUUAACUAAAAUAUGUUAUUGUAAAUACUCUAUUUUAUAUUAUUUUAUAAAAAUUAUUUUCUACUUUCUAAUUAUCAAACAUUUUUUUUACGAGUUUUCUUCUUAACAUACCAUUAGUUCUAAGAUGUGAUUGAAUUAAAUGAUGAAGCUAAAUAUCGGAAAUGUUCAUAUGGAAUUGAUUGACAUUACAUUUUGAUCGAUACUUUUCAUUACCUACUUGCUUAUGUCUAUGUCCCCAUGACCAGGUAAAGGAAUUCAAAUUCUUCUUUCAAAAUUUUAAAUGGUUUCAUGUUUUCGGAUUUUUUUUUUUCCCUUUUUAUAUAUGAUUGUAAUAUAAAAAUACUAAAGAAAAUAAAAUAUAAUUAAAAUAAAAUUAAAAAACAUUAUAUAUUUUUAAAUUAAAAUAAAUAAAAUGAGUUUUAAAUAACAUAUAAAAAUUAUUUUAUUAAUUUUAAAUUUAUUUUACAUUUUUCUAUGUUUUUUUUUCUAUUUUUUUGCCUAUUUUCUUUAAUAUAAUGUUGACUGAAAAUAAAUAAAUCGAUUGACCUCAAUCUUCAACGUCAUCUCCUCAACUUUAUGCAAAUCUGCAACUCUUUUUCUACCAAACACCCCCACAGGGAAAUGCGAGAAAGUUGGUACCACCAAAGGAAACCCAAGUGGAUAUCAUUUUCUGGCGUGCCAAACACCCCCAUUAGGACAGUGGUACUUUGUCCACAUCAGAUCCUUAUCUGGAGACAAGCGCAUUUAAAGCCAACCCACGUGGCAGUCUCACCACCCUCCGAUUCUUAAAAGAGCGUCGGUUGCUUUGUCCCUUUCCACCCCUUCCAGCUCAGUUAUCCUCAAAAAUAUAUGUAAUAAAUAAAUAAAUAAAGGACAAAAAUGAUGUCACGUAAUCAGCAACAAAGGCUUGGACCGUUUUUUGACUUUCAACAUCGCACGUGACCGCCGCCUUUUAUUCGAGGUUCGGCGAACGUCGUCGCUUUGUUACGUGUCUAAAGCAAAGUACACGUGGCACUCUCUUUUGAUCUGCAUUGCCAAUAAUAGUUUAAAAUGCAAUCAAGUGCCAGCUGGGCUGACACUGGACAACUGUUGCGUCACCACUUCACAUUAUUUAACUAAUUGACGUAUAUACCCUCAAUCCAGAAUCCAAUCCUUUUUUAGGUCCAUCUUCUAACCUAUAUAACAUUUAAAAUGGGUUAAUUUCACUUACUCCGUCAGGUUUACCAUUCAUUUCAAAUUAAGAGUGUGUUUUAUAUGUUUUUAAAAAUAUUUUUCACCCAAAAAGUGUUUUUAAAAAAUAUUUUUCACCUAAAAAGUGUUUUUAAAUAAAAAAAUUAGAUCUUUAAUAAAAUUUAAAAAAUAUUUUUAAAAUUUAGAAAAUUACUUCUAGCAUUAAAAAAAUUACUUAUAAUAUUGACUUAUCGAUUAAUUCUUAUUUUUAAAUAUUAUAAUUGAUUUAUAAAAUUAAAUUAAAAUUUAUUUUAAAUUAUCAAUUUAAUAUAUUUAUUCUUAUAAAUUAUAAUUAUAGUAAAAGAGAUUUCAUAACACUAAAGGAUCGUGAAGUAGCAAAAGAUAUUUGAAAAUAAUUAUGAAAAAUAGGGAUAAAAAGGUAAAAUAAAAAUAUGAAUUUAAGAAUAAGUUAAUUGUUUUUACUUACUACUUAAAGUUGUUUUUAUUUUACCAAAUAUACUUAAUUUACUUAAUGACUUGAAUUAAAUUAUUAAGUUACUUUAAGUUAUUAAAUUAAUUUACCAAAUACACACUAAUUAAAUUAACCUUGAAAAAAAUCUCAUAAUAAUAAUUGAAUUUAUUGCAUUUAAAGCAAAUAAUCUUUAUAAAAAGGAUAAUAAGUCACUAUAAAUUGUAUUAGAAUAGAUCAUUGAUUAAUGUGAAUACUUACUUAUUUUUAAAUUUGUAUAUCAUCUUUGCAUUAUAUAUGUAAUGAGUUUUUUUAAUUAUAUAAACAUAUGCGACAUUUGUUUUUUUAUUGAAUAAAAAAUAUUAAAAUAUUUAACUUUUUUUAUUUAAUUAAAAAUAAUCUAUUAAUAUCAACUAAUAUUAUCAAACUAAAUCUAUUAAUAAUAAAUUCAUUUUAAUAAUAUCAGUUAAUAUUAAUAUAUUACUUUUAACUUAAUAAAAAAAAGUUAAAUAUUGUAAUUUUCUUAUUCAAUUAAAAAACAAACAAAUUAUUUUGUAAAAAAAAAUAAUAAUUCAAAACAAUUCACAAGUAGCUAUGGAUGUAGAAGAUGGGUCUUGAAGUUCAUGUAUAAAUCCAAAAUGUUGUUCUUCAUGGGUUGUAGUCAAAUCUAGUCCAUGAUAUGACAUUUCUUGGGAGAAUGGGUGGUUGCUAUUUAUUUAAUUUUACUAAGCAAUCAUUCUUUUACGGACAUUAAAAGGAAAAAAACAAAUCAAAUUUUCAGACAUAUCUUUCUAUAAUUAUUUUCAAAUUUUGGAUUUAUUUUAUAUUGGUCACAAGGAGCCGACAAGGGUAUAUGCGAGACAGAGUUUGGAGGGUAAAAAUAGUAAAGAUGAUGGGAAGAGGGUAGAUCUCAGUGACGGGGAAAAAGGAAAAUGCCAAAAAGGGUAAGGACACAGGGCCCUUGAUCUGCGGCCUGGGCUCGGUCGUCCACAUGCGCUUGGAGAGUCAUGGUUUUGAAGAUGAGGCUGAGAUUUGAGUCGGCCCGCCCCACAUUUUGUGAUUAAUUAUUUAUCAUUUUAAAGAAAAGAACAGAAAAGAAGGGGGGCGUAGGACAACAUGGGUGGUUCCCAUGAAAGCCCAGGAACAGGCCACGAUCGUGAGAGUUUCGAUUAGGUCAGCUGGAUUUUCAGUAUCCCUCCGCCCUCUUCUCAUGGGCCCCCCUUUGCCCCUUUUUUCUGGCCCACAUCGCUCGUGGUAUGUUUCCUUACCUUUAGGGGCUUUUUUGUCUUUUGGUUUUCGGGCCGGGUCGUCUUUCCUGGUUAAUAGACCAUGGUUACCUAUCUGAUUUGAUGUCUGCUUAGGAUGGUAUUAUUAAUUUUGUCCCGAAAUUACUAGAAUAGACUUCCAUUUCGACAAUUUUACACUUUUUUUUUGGCCUUUUAUAUGGAUUGCUUUUCCUACGAGGUUAUUUGUCAGAUGUUCUUCCAGCAGCGCCGAAAGUUUACCAUAAAAAUAAUAUUUUUUUUGAAAAAAAACUAAGCCCCGGUUGAUUUUGGAUUCUUUAAGUUAAUCUGAGUUUGAAUUGCAUAAUUUAAAAUCUCUUUAUAAUAUUAUUUUAAUAAAUUUAUAUGAAAAUUUAAACAACUAAAAGGAUAAAAUUUCAAGACAAUCACAAAAAAAAAAUAUAAAUUUAUGUAUUUUUUUAAAAUAAUGAAAAACAUAUAAUAUAAUUUUAUAUUUUUUUUUAGAAAAAUAAAUAUUAUUAUAUAUAAUAAAAUAUAUUAUAAAUAUUAUAAAAAUAUUAAAUCAUAUUUGGGUUAGACUCGAGUCGUCUUAAUCUUAACUCGAUCUCAAUUAAAAUUGAGUUCGAAUUAAAAAAAAAUCUAAGUUAAGUACAACAUGAAUAUUGAAUAUGAUUAUUGAAACUUGUUCAAAUGUCAGGAUCCACAUAAAUAGCAUCGUUAAUAAAAAUACAAGAAGGGGAAGAAGAAAAAUAACAAAAAUGAAAAAGAUUACGAUUAUGAUUAAGGUUUAGUAGGUAUACACAAUUAAUUUUUUUACUUUUAAUAAACAAGGAGAAAAAAGGACGGAAAAGAAAAUGAAUGAUUAGGAUAAGUGGUUGGGUUUAAUAAGUAUACACGAUUAGUUUUAGUAGGUAUAUACUACUAGCUUUAACUUUUAAUAAAUUCUUUUAUCUAAAAAUGGAAACAAAGAGGUGCAAAAAGGAAAGGAGAAAGAGAAGGGAAAGGAAAAGGAUUAGGAUAAGGGGUGGAGUUUUAUAAGCAUACACGAUUAGUUUUAACCUUUAAUAAAUAUUUUUAUUUAAAAUUAAAAACAAAAAGAUACCAAAAAAGGAAAAGGAAAAUGAUUAGGAUUAGAGUGAGGAUUAUGGUUUAAUACGUAUACACGAUUAGUUUUAAAUUUUAAUGUAUUAUUUUAGUUGAAAUAGUUUGAGAUAUAUUUUCCUAAUUUUUUGAAAGGUGUGUUUAAUAUUCAGUUCUUUAAAUAAAUUUUAGUUUUUUUAAUCUAAUAAUAACUUAAAUAUUAAUGCAUUCAAAUUUACAGCAGUUAAUUUAGAGUUCGUUUAACAAUAUUUUUAAGAAGUGUUUUUGAAAAAAAAAAUUGUCCAUUUGUUAGUGAUUUGAGGAAGUAAUUCUAAUCUUUUUAACACUUGAAAUUUUUUAUUAUUUAAAUCUUAAAAAGAUUAGAAACAUUUUCUAUAAUUAUUAUCAAACACACUUUUAGAAUAUUAAUAAAUUACUUAUAGUGUUUUCUGAAAAAGUUUUCAUUCGAUGGGUGAUUUUCCUGAAAACGCUUAAAAAAAUAUUUUUAUUAAAAAUAUUUUAAUCAAAUAUGCACUCUUAGAGUGAGUUUAAUAGUGAUUCUAGAAAAUUUUACUAGUUUUUAUAAUGGUAGAAAGCGUUUAACAUUGAUUCUAAAAAGUGUUAUUAACUUUUCUAUCUUUCAAACAUUAGAAAAAUUAGAAAUACUUUUUAGAAUCACUAUUACGUUUGGCAAAAAGUGUUUUUAACUUUUCUAUCUUUCAAACAUUAGAAAAAUUAUAAAUACUUUUUAGAAUCACUCUUAUAUUUGGCAGUGAUUCUAGAAAAUAUUUUUUUGUCAUUUUAAUACUUUAAAUUUUUUAUCUUUAAAGUAUUAAAAAAAUUAAAAACACUUUCUAAAAUCAUCGUAAAACAUACUCUUAGAGCCCAUUUGGUAGUGAUUUUAGGAAACGUUUUUAAUAUUUCUAAUACUUGAAAAUUUUUAUCACUAAAGUGUUAAAAAUACUAGAAACGCUUUUUAGAAUCACGCACAAACAUCACAAGUGAUUUUUCAUAUUUUUAUAAACAAUUGUUUUUUCAAAAUUAAAAGCGUUUCCUAAAAUCACUAUCAAAUGGAUUCUUAAAAUGGGUUUGAUAGAGAUUUUAGAAAGUAUUUUUACCAUAUCUAAUACUUGAAAAACCACUAGCAAACAUACUAUUAGAGUAUUGAUAAUAAUUAUAGGAAAUAUUUCUAACCUUUAUAACACUUGAAAUUUUUUAUCCUUCAAGUAUUAAAAAUGUUAGAAACUUUUUCUAUAAUAAUUCUCAAAACACUUUAAAAUCACGUUUGAGAAUUAUUUCAGGAAGUAUUGAUAAUAUUUAAAUAAUAAAAAUUUUUAAAUAUUAAAAAAACUAAAAUCACUCCGUAUAACCUAAGGAGACAUGAUAGAUAGAAUCGGGUUAUUAUUAUUUUUAUUAUUAAAUUUAAAAUUUUAUUUUAAUUUUAUUAUUUUUGAGAGGAAGGUAGGAUUUGAAAAAGUGAUAAUGUUGUCCUUAUAUUUAAAAAGGAUGCCUUUGGUUUUUGAAGGCCAGGGGGUGUUGUGGACCGACGACUUGUUAAACUGUACCUUUCAAAUGUAGGGCUUUCAAUACCUAACAAGCAGCAAACCCACGCACUCUCUAAGUUCCAUUGUCCAUCGGAUUCACAACAUCUUGGAGAUAUGUCCUUUUUAUUAACUAUAAAUAAUUAAAUUUGAUCCCCAUUUUACAAUUUCAAAUUAUUUGAAAACAAAUAAUGACAAUGAAAAUGUUACUUAAUUAUGGGCCCAACUUAAUCUCAAAUCAAAAGAAAGUAUUUGGAACUACCCAGUAUAAAUUAUGUUCGAAACGUUUUCGAAAACUAUUAUAAAAAAAUAAUUUUAAAAAAUGGUUUUAUGAUAUUUUCUAAAACAAAAUUUUAUUUGAAUAUUUAGAAUAUGUUUGAUAAUUGUUUUAAAUAAUAGAAAACAAUUUUUUAUAUUAUUAAAUUUGUUUUUUAUUUUUUUGUUUUGAAAAAUAAAAAAUCGUUUUUGAAAACAGUUAUCAAACAAGUUUUUAGAAUUAAUUCAACUUAUAUCUCAUGUUUAUAAAUUUUUAAUUAUUUGAAAAUUACUUUUUUUCUGAAGGCUAAAUUAGUCAUUUAAUGCAGCAUUCUUACUGUAAACGAAACUAACGUUAGUGUAUCAAAUAGUAUUUGGAUUAAGGUUCGAGAUGAGGCCAAAAUGACAAAUAUUCCACGCAAUUAUUUCCAUUAAACAGAGAUUCAGGCGCUAGGGUUUAGCAUUAAGACAGAAAGUGAAGAGGAUAAAAGCCGAAGAAUGACGAAAAUACCCCUGUAAUAGCAUCCAACAAAAGGUUGAACUAGGAGAGCCGUGGCCAUGCAUGCCUCACAACAAGUAAUUGUGGAUGCCAUGUGCCAUUGAGCAGCUUUUGUCCUUACCCUCUAUCCGAACGCUUAGUCGUCACUGUGAGCAGUGACAGUGGCAGUUUCGUUGUUUUAUUCAAAUCUGGGGGUUAGUUUGGAGGUGGGCAUGCAUAAAAGCCGGUGCUCACCUCUUUCGCUCAGAGCAUCGGCAUCACCUCCACCGUUUCUCCCUUUUCUCUCUUCUUCUCUCUUAAACUUCGCUUCAACCAGACACUCCCAAUGAGAGCUGUGGCGUUUCUUUUGCUACUAUUGUGCGCCACCUGCCACAUUGCCUUAUCCUUCACCGACGGUAAGUGGCAUUUUCCUGGUUUACCUCCUCUUCUUCUUCUUCUUCUUCUUCUUCUUCUUCUUGAGAGCUGAUGGUGUCUCUGUUCCAAUGUUUUUAUCCUCCGUUGGAUUUGUUUGACUAACUUUAUUUUACGGUUGAGAUUAACGGUUAUUUGUACAUUAUGCAUUGGCACUAGGUUAGGAUCAAUGCUAGCGGUGGCCGGCAGCGCUGCUACUAGCUAGAUAAACUGACCAAAUUAACCCUACCUUUCAUGUCGAAUUCUAGUCUCAGGAAGGGGCUUAAGGGUCAUUUAGAUAGUCAUAAGUUGCAGAGGUUUCUGGCCGAGAUUCAAAAGUUGAGGGGCAAAUAUGCCUUUUUACGCUUCAAUAAUUUGAAUCUCUCGUACUGCUGCGGGGCAGAGGCGGCUCCACAUGCUCUCAGUAUGGAGAGAAAGUCUCAGCCGUCCAUGUGCUCAUAUUAAUGGCUCUGAUAUGAGCUGUGUGGGCCACUAAGUAUCUGUUUACAGUUCAGGUGAAUAGAAGUGUGUUAAAUGACAAUAUUGGCCAUUCUAGUCCCGCCAUAUGGUCGUCGGUCUCACCGUCGUAGCUUUCAGCUUCUAACGGCCUUUGGCCUGCUCGAUAACCGUAACGAAAACAUGGGUGUUAUCCUCCUUUCAAUUCCUUUGUCAAAUGUUUUCAAUUUCUUGCAAAUUUAUUGAAGCUAAAUUCCAAAUAAUACCCACUGGAAAACGCAGGACUAUUACCGAAUGGGAACUUCGAGCUGGGGCCGAAGCCAUCGGACAUGAAGGGAACGGAGGUGAUAGGCCCGCACGCCAUACCGGAAUGGGAAACAUCGGGUUUCAUCGAGUACAUAAAAGCAGGACAAAAACAAGGCGACAUGUUGCUGGUCGUCCCUGAAGGAGCCUUCGCAGUCAGGCUGGGGAACGAGGCUUCCAUAAAACAGAGAGUGAAGGUGAUCAAGGGAAUGUACUAUUCCAUUACCUUUAGUGCCGCCAGAACCUGCGCCCAGGAGGAGCGCUUGAACAUAUCAGUGGCGCCCGACUGGGGAGUCCUGCCUAUGCAAACUCUGUACAGCAGCAACGGCUGGGACUCCUACGCCUGGGCGUUCCAGGCUGAUUACGAUGUGAUCGAGAUCGUCAUACAUAACCCAGGCGUAGAGGAGGAUCCAGCUUGUGGACCGUUGAUCGAUUCCGUUGCUUUCAGGGCUCUGUAUCCUCCCAGACCUUCCAGCAGUGAGUUUUUAUGGUUUGAUUCGUUUGAAUGCAUAUAAGCAUAUUGCAUACUGCAUACACAUUAUUUAUUUUAUUUUUUUAACAUUUGGUACAAGUAUAUAGUAGUUAUGGCACUAUGGUCCCCUGCAUUAGGUCCCCCUCUUAUAUAUUGGACCACUUGUUUCGGAUUGGGGCUCAUCAUAUAACUAUUUGUGGGUAGGUUUGAAGGCCCCGUUUUCCGCUCUGCCUUAUAGGUAUUAGUCAAGGUUUGCUCAAAUCUGUGAAAUACUGUGAAGCCCAAUUAAAUUAUUGGGCUGAUCCGGUUUUGUUUUUUCACUCUUUUUGAUAAGGAACACCUUGUACAUGCAUUAUUGCAUUUCCAGGAGCUGUAAUAUGGUGCUCGAUAUCUCUCAUUUAUAACAUUUCAGACCCUUUUUUGAGGUGGGAUGAUCCCGCUUAUGUCGGGUAAUGGGUCGCCCAAAUAAUGACUCCUAAGGGUGUGAUGUAGAAUGUCAUAAAAGACACCCAUACAGGAAAAUAAUCGGUUUUUAGGUGAAAUGAUCAAAAUUUGGACCUUAGGUUGUCUCUAUGAAUCACACCCAACAAACAAAUUAAUGAGACACAAGUAUAUUUUUCGAGUGGCUAAACCUUCGUAUUCUUUCUUAAUUCAAUCAUCACAUACUUCUUUCAUUAGGGUCAUUUCAAUUUCACAUUUAGACCAAGACCCAUUUAAGACAGACAUAGAAAGUACGAGUCCGACGCCCAGAGAUCACAUUUUGUUAAAUACAUAGACACGAAGUUACCUAUAGGAUAUAGCUAUUGCUUUCAAGAGUUGUGUCAUUUAUUGGCCCAGGACUUAAGUGGUUGGCCCGUUGAAGACCUUGCAAGCAUGGUGACAAAUCGCCUUUAUGAAGUAGGCCAAAGGGUGGCAAAAAUGGCACACAUCUUCUAUGGGUGGAUAUGCAAGAAUCUGAUCAAUUAUGGUCUACUCUAGAAAAAGAAUAAUAAUAAUAAUAAAAGUUUAAGGAUCUAGCUUUUUGGAAUUAUUAAUAUUUUCAUGUCUUGAUCAUGCAGAGAACCUACUGAAAAAUGGUGGGUUUGAAGAGGGCCCAUAUGUGUUCCCCAACACAUCCUGGGGAGUUCUCAUCCCACCCAACAUUGAAGAUGAUCACUCUCCGCUCCCUGGUUGGAUGGUGGAGUCCCUCAAAGCCGUCAAGUACAUCGACUCCGACCACUUCUCCGUGCCGCAGGAGAAACGUGCGGUGGAGCUGGUGGCCGGAAAAGAGAGUGCCAUAGCCCAAGUAGCCAGAACCAUCCCUGGCAAAACAUAUGCGCUCUCAUUCUCAGUAGGAGAUGCCAGCAACUCCUGUGAAGGGUCCAUGGUGGUGGAGGCCUUCGCCGGCAGGGACACCAUCAAGGUGCCAUAUGAAUCAAAGGGCAAAGGAGGCUUCAAGCGGGCUGUUCUCCGUUUUGUAGCGGUAUCCAACCGAACCCGAAUCAUGUUCCUGAGCACAUUCUAUACCAUGAGGAGUGAUGACUAUGCCUCCCUCUGUGGACCUGUUCUUGACGAUGUGAAGCUGCUCAGCCUCCGCACUCCUCCUAGGCACAUCUAAGCCGGCGGCCAGUGUUGAUGCAAAUUAAAGGGGUGGUUUCUGUUUUGAAGCUCUGCAACUCUGCAGAAACAUCAGUUAUACUAGAAGUAUUUUUGCUAUAUGAGAAAGCGAGGUGCACUAGCUUGAGUUCUACUACAAUCUGGAAAAAAUAAAUAAAAAUAAAUAUAUAUAUAUAUAUAUAAAUACUAAUUAAUGUAACAAUAUAUAGUAUAUGGUAGGGUGUGAUUUUAUUAAGUGGUUGUGUACUUUUUUAGAAAAAUAAAUGACAAAAAAGGGAAAAAAAAAAAGAAAAAGAAAAAUUAAAGUUGUUCGUGAUAUUAAGAUCAUAUGUUUGUGUUUGGGUUCAUAAUUGUACUGAUUUUCGAGGUUUGUUUUAAUUUGAGAUACUUAAACAUGGGCAUAGCCCAAUCAUGAAUGAGUCCCAUGCAUGUAUUCAAGUUUGAAUCAAGAAUCUAUGGAUCCUACUUAAUCUACAAAUUGAGUAUUAUAUCUUCACAUUUACAAAUGGGACCAUUCUGACAUUACUUUAGCUGAGAUGCCUACUCAACUCUCUUACUAUUCGGGUGCCCAAAAUCCUAUGGUUGAACGUAGAUGAAAUAUGUGAAUCAGGUGAAAGAUUUCAAAUUGUCGAUCUUCAUGCAAUGAUUCCUGGUGAAGAAAUUACAGAAAAAAAAAAACACAGAUUUAAUGUGAUUCGAUGAAUUGCUUACGUCUACGAGAACAAGGAAGAAAACUUUCACUAUAUGUCAAAUUAGGGUUACAUAAAAUAAUAUUUAUACUAAUCAUCAGAUAAUAAAAUUCCAAAAAUGUCCAUGCAUCGUACACUCCCCUCGUUCCACUCUGUUCUACUUCGACAUUUGUCAUUUUUUUCUCUAUGUGUCUUUCUCUCAAUAUGAACCACAUACUACAACACAAAAAAAUACUCGGGCAAUGCUCAAAGAAGAUAGGAGAAAGAAGAAUACAAAAAUAAAAAUGAAGUAUACUUGGUGUCGUUCUCUUUCUCAUGCUGACUUACAAAAAUUUAAUUUCAAAACAGAGGUCACAUGAUGAUAAUGACACGAGAAUUUGGAGGGGUAGUGGUGAAAUGGGCCGCACAAUUGAUCCUACCCUUUGUAUUGGGCUUCAUUUUGCUGGAUCCAAGUUUGUCCGGAUAAUAUAAUUUCAAUAAACUGAAAUCAGCCCUUAAAGACAAGACCCAAAUUGCCAAGCCCUAAGGCACGGCUGGGUUACUGCCACGUGCAUUGCACGUGGGGUGUAAAAAAUCACAAGAAGAAUGGAAUCGGACGGUGGAGAGAGUCGCGUUAGGUUGAAGCUACCUGAGAGACGCUAAAACCCUCUUAUAGAAACCCUCGCGUUCGUGUUUGUCUCCCUCUUUCUCCUCACACUCUCUCUGCGGACGCAUUUUCACAGGGGUAAAUAUGGUGAGUUUCGUUUUCCUUUAUGUUUGUUUCUCUAGAAAAAUUUAAGGGUAUUUUCUUUUGGUUUAACAAAAAGGAAAAAAAGAAGACUUAUCCAGGACAAAUUGAGCUUUUGAAUCUUGUGAUUUAUGCUGCAUUACUUUCUGUUGAGUUGAGAUUCUGUUCUUCUUAGUCAUCAAAAUGUUAAUUGAUUUUCUCUCGUUGUCCUACCUUUCGCAAGCAAUCAAUCGUAGGAUAAGUUUGGUUCUGUGAUUCGAUCCCGUUCGAUUGAUCUAUUGAUUUUUUUUCUGUCGUAGGCUUUGCCUAAUCAGCAGACUGUUGACUACCCAAGUUUCAAGCUUGUAAUCGUCGGGGAUGGUGGAACAGGUGAUCACAAUAAAAAUUAUAUUCUUUGUUCUUCGCUGUGUUCGGUCGCUGAGAAGACCGAGGAAAAACGAAGACUUCGUUUUUUUCUUUUUUCCUUUUCAUUAUCUGGGACUUGAUGGAACAAAAACUUCCCGUCUUAAUCAAUGCAACUAUUUUGCUCGAUCGAGUUCCUUUUUUUUUUUUGCCUUUUCCUUUUCUUUAAAAAUGAAAUGCAAUGAAACAUAUUCGAAAAUUUCUUUUCCCUUUUUUCUUUCAUUCAGAAGUCAAAUACAGGGUUCGGGAUUUGAUUUUCUAUUGCCUGUAGUUAAUAUAGAACCUCACUGUAUCCAAGUUUAUUUUCCCCAUUUUGUGCAAUUGGGGUUUUCGUUGGGGUUCUUGUGAUUAUAAAACUGUAGAGCUUAUAUGGAAAAGGGAUCAAAGCCUUGGAACUCAUUUUAUGUUGUGGAAUUUAAUGCACUUUAUUUACAGUGAUUUUGCUAAUCUGAAAGUGGUUUGCCAAUGCAGGAAAAACAACAUUUGUUAAAAGACAUCUUACAGGCGAGUUUGAGAAAAAAUAUGAACGUAAGUUUGGAGAAAAUGUUAUGCUCUAAGUUUUCUAUCUUGUAUUUACUUAUCGGACUGUUUGUGAAGAUUUUCAAAGUGCCCUUCAGGCCUUAAUAGCCCAAAUGAGAGGAAUAUUCUAUUCCCAAAGCAAAAGAAAAUAGUAUAUUCUGAAUGCAAACUAAUUUUGUUUUCCUUUUUCUUUUUUAAUCAUGAUAGCAACCAUUGGUGUGGAAGUUCAUCCGCUGGAUUUCUUCACAAACUGUGGUAAGAUUAGAUUCUAUUGCUGGGACACUGCUGGGCAGGAGAAGUUUGGUGGUCUUAGAGAUGGAUAUUAGUAAGUAAUUUUACAAAUUGGUGUUGCUAGCUCAUUUUUUUACUAAAUUUUUUCUGUCCUGAACAUGUAUUUGUAUUUAAUAUAUUUGACAAUUUGAUGUUCAUAUUCAUUGCAUCACAAUAUUGUAUGUAUGAAAUCUUUUUCUUUGGUUGGCUGGUUUUUUCAAUUUGUGCUUUUGACCUUCAUACUGUUGUUAGAAUUUUGAUUAGAAUUGAAGGAUUCUUUGUUCUAUUAUAACCAUCUUAAUAUUUUUUUUUGGUGUUGCUCAUGGUGUUCUUCGCUUACAGUUGGUUGAAAUUGUUUUUCUAACUCAUUGGUGAAUGUUCAUGUGUUUAUUGAAUGUGCAUGAAGCAAUCGGAAGUUAGAAACUGUUUUUUCAUAUGAUUUCUGAUUGAUGCUAAUUUGGUAUAUUUUAGGCUUCCACAUUUGAUACCGUCGGUUUGGGUUAUUUGUUUCAUUUUAUCUUGCUGUAGAAGUUAUUGGUGAAAAAAAUGGAGAUAAGUGGUUUAUAAAACAAUUUGUAAUCAAGUGGUUUGUUUUCUUUUGAAUUGGACUACCAUGUUUGUUUGGGUGAAUUAAAAGAUUAUAUUUUUUAAGGCAGGUUGUAAUUUCAGUUUGACUGCCCAAGUUGUAUUAUUGAUAAAAUCAAUUUUAAAGGUGUGUUUCAAAUUGCUUAAAAGGUCAAGUAAAAUUUUACUUUUUGACUUCAUAAAUGUCAAAAGAAAUAUAAAUAUAAACUCUGCAUUUUGGAUAUAAUAAUUAUGGACAUUUUAGACCUGGAGGCUAGUAUAUGAUGAUGAUAUGUAUCGGUUAGGGUGUUGUUGUGGUUUGGUUGUUUUCAGGGUGGUGUUGGUAUUUGGCCCUCUUCUCUCCAUUGCCAGCCUUUUGGUGUGUACUUUCUUGCACCUCUUUGAUGGCGCUUUUUAAUAUAUUCUGUCAUUUACCUAUCAAAAAAAAAAAGAAAGAGAUGUGUAUUGAAAUCAUCAAUUAUCCAAUUAUAUCAGUUGUCAUCAAUUGCUUAUUGAAGUCAUGUUUCAGACUUUCUGCAUUUGAAGCUGAUACAUAUCAAAAUUAUCAUUUUAUAUUGCAAUUUGCCCUUGGCCAUCCAACUCUCUGUAGCCCUUCUUAUCCACUGCAAAAUCUAAAUAUCUAGCUCUUCAAGGCCCAUUAUCAAUUCAUAGUGCAAUUCUCAAUCCGCUCUGUUCAUCCAAACAUGAAAUGUCUGUAUAAUGUCAAUUUAUAUACAGACUUUGAGCCACAUGCUUCCUUUAGAUCAUUUUGUGCUAAAUAAUAGAAAUUUGGUAUUGUUCAUGCUUCACAUUGUUUUUCAGAUUUCACCUUUUUUGAGGAUCACAGCCUUUUCAAGCAAUUUGCUAAAUUUUUGUUUAAUGUGCAGCAUCCAUGGGCAAUGUGCCAUUAUCAUGUUUGAUGUUACUGCUCGCUUGACAUACAAGAAUGUUCCAACAUGGCACCGUGAUCUUUGCCGGUGUGUACAGGAAUCCUGAUUUCCUAAAUCUUAGCAAUUAUCCAUUAGUGAAGACUUAUUCUGAGCCUUAAAUCUUAUGAAGAAUUUUCUGGUUUACCAAUUACAGGGUUUGUGAAAAUAUCCCCAUUGUGCUUUGUGGUAACAAGGUUGAUGUCAAGAACAGGCAGGUGAAGGCAAAGCAGGUUACUUUCCACCGGAAGAAGAAUUUGCAGUAUUAUGAGAUAUCAGCUAAGAGCAAUUAUAAUUUUGAGAAGCCUUUUCUCUACCUCGCCAGGAAACUUGCUGGGUAAGGAAGGACUGCACUAUAAUUCCUUUAUUUUCAUAUAUUUCCAAGUAUGGAGCUUAAGGUAAUCAUCACCAAAAUCGGUGUUGUGGUGGCAGGGAUCCUAAUUUGCAUUUUGUCGAGUCUCCUGCUCUAGCUCCUCCGGAAGUUCACAUCGACUUGGCUGCACAGCAACAGUAAGCAUUUUGUGACAACCAGAACUAUCUCUUCUCAUUGUCUCUCACUCUCAAAUGCACACACAAGCACAUACGUGCUCCAGCCAGCUCUGUUUGGGAAGUGUUUUUAAGAACAGUUUUUGGAAAAUGUUUUCUUAUAUUUUGUAGAAUAAAAGUUUGUUUGCGAACCUGAAAUAUUUAAAACCUAUUUUCUAUGUUUUUUAAAUAUGUUCUAAAAGAUGUUCUCUAAAAAUAUAUUAUUUUUUGCUUUUGGGUUGUUAAUCGUGUUUUCUUACUUUUUUGUUCUUUAUAAUAAAAAACUGUUUUAAAAAACAGCUCCGAAACAAGGACUAGAUUUCUAAGUGGCCACUGGUUACAUGAUUAGUGUUUUCUUACUUUUUUGUUCUUUAUAAUAAAAAACUGUUUUAAAAAACAGCUCCGAAACAAGGACUAGAUUUCUAAGUGGCCACUGGUUACAUGAUGAACGACUAUUGUAAAACUGUGGUUUGGUUCUGAAUCAUGUGGUGGUUUUUGGCAGGCAUGAGGCUGAACUUGCUGCAGCUGCUAGUCAACCCCUUCCAGAUGACGAUGAUGAUGCGUUUGAAUAGAUGGAGGGUUGUUCCCUGUUGUCCAAUGUCUUCCCAAUUUUUCUCCCAUACAUUUAGGACUUGGUAGUUUUUUUCCCCUUUUUUUGGGCUUUUUUUGUUUCUCCCUAUAUUUUUCUCUUGUGGUGAGAUUUGAGGUGGGUGGGGUUUUUCAAUUUUUGGUUUGGUAUUGUGAGAUUUAUGCUGGUGUUUUGUGUAUGACAAAGAUUACAUAUUUGAAAUUAUGUGGACUUGCGAAUGCCCCUUUUCCCUUUUCCUUUCUAUAUAUAUCUUCGCAUAUGUGAGGCUUGUCUAUUAAUAGUAAAUUAAGUUAUUUGAUUAGAAGGGUAUUUCAAAACUCAAUUUUAAAAAUUAAUUUUUUAUACCUUAUUUUGAUAAAAAUGAUUUUAUUUUUUUCUUGUAAAAAUAACUUUUUAUUAAAAGCCUAAAGGUAUUUAUGUUCAAAAUGGGUUAUUUAUAAAAAGAAAGUGGGAUGAUUAAAUUCUUAAAUUUGAAGAUUAUUUUAUCAUUUUUAAAUAAUUAAUUCGAAUAAAUUUGUAUAUAUAUAUAUAAUAAAAAUUUGAUUUAUUUAAAUAUUUAUAAGAGUAGACUUCGGUUUAUUUUAUAAUUCAUUUUAAUUAAAACAUUAUCAAAUUUUUAUUGAUUUAUUUUAAAUAUUUAUAAUUAGUAAAUUUUGUUAAUUUAUAAUUAAAUUUAACUAAAAUGUUAUUAUUCAAAUAAUAAUAAUAUUUUCAUAUUUUAUAAUAUUCACUAGAAUAAUGCCAUUUUGUUACAAUAAUAAUUAUUGCUAUUUUAUAAAAUCAAAGAAAAUUGUAAUUACAAAACUAUUUGUUAUAUUUUCUUGAUUUUAUUUUAAUAUUAAUAUAAUUUUGGAAUAAAAAUUACUUAUUUAAAAAGGUUUUAAAAUAUCUUGUUGAAUCGUUCCACCUAUUUAUCAAAGUAGGAUGGAUAUACAGCAAUUCAUUUCUUUAUUUAAAUAUGAAAUAUGUCCAUAUAAAUAUAAAUAUUUUUUUCAAAAUUCAAAUAUCUAUUCGUUGGAUUUAAAUGUAAGAAAUGCUAUUAUGAAAAGGGCAAAAUGGGAAGGGACAGAAAUAUAGGUCGGCGCGUGGCUUGGUGCAAAGUGUAGGGCUGAGAUAGAAGCGCCGGUUUAAAGCGGGAUCUAAUCCAACGGUUGAGAGAAAUAGCGUCCAUCAAAGGCUAUAAUGAAAACACGCGGCGCCUACUUAUAUAUAUACGGCUAAAACUCCUACUACCACCGCAUUCAAAACUCAAACCUUCUUUCCAAAGCGCUCCUUGGCGGCUUCCAUACGAGAAACUCACGCUCACCCUCCAGAUGGUUUCCCCUCUCUCUCUCUCUCUCUCUGCCUGUUUGGCUGCUUUGAAAGAACAAGGAUUCGGGAUUUUCUUUUCCAUCUUCUCCCGUUUCUCAGCAACCAAACACCUUUUUUAGUCUAGACGUGUUUUUCUGAUCCGUUUUCUUUCUUCUACAGGCGCUUCCAAAUCAGCAAACUGUGGAUUACCCUAGCUUCAAGCUCGUGAUUGUCGGUGAUGGCGGAACAGGUGCACCAUUCGUUUUUUUCCUCUCUCUCUCUAUAAAAUAAAUAAAUAAACCUCGCUUCUUUUCUGCACUGGUUUCUGUUAUUUAGAUCUGAUUUUUAAAGUCCAAAACCCUAACUUUCUUUGAUUACUGUAAAAACUGCGGAAAAGAAAAGGAGAGGGGAUUUUACUUUUCUUUUCUUUUCCUAUGUUUUUUCAGCAACCAAACGGACGGUUCAAAAUGUCUACAUUUCCUGUAAAUUUUGGAAAAUUUAUUUUAAUUGUAAUGGUUGUUUGGAUUUAUGUGCAGGAAAGACUACAUUUGUGAAACGGCAUCUCACUGGAGAGUUUGAGAAGAAAUAUGAGCGUGAGAACUCUUAUGUUAAUAGAUUUAGUUUCUACAGCAAUGCAAUUUUUAUGGAUGAAUUAAGAUGUUGAUGUUUGUUGUGAAAUUGCGAAUUACAGCAACCAUUGGUGUGGAAGUUCACCCAUUGGACUUCUUCACAAACUGUGGAAAGAUCAGGUUCUAUUGCUGGGAUACAGCUGGGCAGGAAAAAUUCGGUGGGCUCAGAGAUGGAUACUAGUAUGUGUUAUCUUACUUGAGCAAUGAUGAAAUAGAUCAUUAACUCAUUAUUCUUUUGAUAUCUAGUGUUUUACUUUUAUUGUAUUUCCCUAAUCCAGUGGUUUCAAGGGUUAUCGCAUCUUUCAAUGUUGAUACUGCUCUCUCUCAUAUGUUUCACAUUGUGGCUCAUUAUUUGUACGUCUGUUAAAAUUUUGUAAUAUUUUUAAAUGGCGAAAUUUUAAUGUUUUCUCUCCUUCCAGUGUUUGAAAAGCAUAUCCUUGAAAUCAUGGUUGAAAAUCUGGAGUUGCUGUUGUUCUUGCAACAUAAUAGUUAACUUGUUUGGAUGCCUUUGCUCAUGUCCCUUCGGUCAUGUCAUGUAAACUCUUUCAUUAAAGUUCCUAUUGGAGAGUUCUUUUUUUUUUUUGUCAUAUGCGGCAGUGUGUUCUUACAAUCUCAUUAAUGGACAGCCUCCUCGAUCAGUACAAGCACAAAGAAUUUCUUUUUGCUGGUUUUGUUUUUGACUGAAACAAACAAAAGCCUUUCAAUAGUUUGAAGUCAGAGAAGGCGCCUUUCAAUUUCUCAAUGUUUGAUAGGCAAUACCAUAAUAGAAUGUUACUUUUUCUUCCUUGAUUCUAUACUUCUAUCAUGCUCUGAGAAUACAUUAAACUGAAAUUAAACAACAGUAUCUCUGUCAUGUCUCUGAUUGUGAUGGAAGAUCCUGAUGUUGAUGUAGAGAUUUAAAAUUGAUUUUUGAUGUGUAGUUCUAUGAUUCCAUUAUGAGAUCAAAGGUUCCAAUAAUUUGUCUUACAUAAAAGGUUGGGACUUUCAAGGAUGAUAUGCAACCAUAUCCCUACAUUUGAUUGUAAUAGAAGAUCCUGAUGUUGGCAUAGAGAUUUAUAACUUAUUUGUGGUCUAUAUUUCUAUGAUUGCAAUGUGAGACUCAAAGGUUCAUUCCAUUUUGUUGUGUUAUAUGUUGGACAUGAUUUUAGUUUGUUAUGUCCUCAGUUUUAUUUGUUGAUCACUGGAGGUGCCAUGUGACACCUAACAGAAAUGUAUUCAAAUUCUGAAAAGGAAACAAGUGAACUCUAUAUAGGGAAUCCUACUGCAAGGGAAUAUUUUUCUUUACGGCUUUCUAAGAUAUGUUUGUUAAAAAGUUGAAUUCCUUUCAAGUUAAAAAUCUUUUGUUCAUCAAAACUCAACUGGGAGAAUUUUCCGAUGUUCUAUUGAAAUUGUUAUUUUUUUUCUUUACGUACCUGUUACCUGUGAGUUCAUGAUCGCUUCUGCAUGGUGCUUGAUGUUACAAAGUUUAUAUGUCAAUACAUACAUGUUCCAAGCCUUCUAUGUCUUUGUAUGUUCCCCACUUAUCAGGAGUUGGUCUCAUGUUUAUUGCAUGUGCUUUUUUGCCUUUAAAAUCUUAUCAUGCUUCUAAGUGGUAAUAUUUGAUUUUCUGUUUGUGCAGUAUUCAUGGACAGUGUGCCAUCAUCAUGUUUGAUGUCACUGCUCGUCUGACAUACAAAAAUGUUCCAACAUGGCAUCGGGAUCUCUGCAGGUGCACAAAUGGAGCCAUUCUUUUCUUUUUCCUCCUCCUCCUUCUCCUCAUCAAAACUGCCAUCACUUGCCUUCUAUUUUCUCCUAUAUUCUGUGGUGGUAGUGUUCUUACUGGCAAUUAUUUCUGCUGUAUUUAGGGUGUGCGAGAAUAUUCCAAUUGUUUUAUGUGGAAACAAGGUGGAUGUGAAAAAUAGGCAGGUCAAAGCAAAGCAGGUUACUUUCCACAGGAAAAAGAAUCUCCAGUACUAUGAAAUUUCUGCAAAGAGCAAUUAUAACUUUGAGAAGCCCUUCUUGUACCUUGCUCGAAAACUUGCAGGGUAAUUUUUUUGAAACCUUUUCUAAUUAUUGCUUUCAUACCAGUUUGGGCUUAGUGCCUUGAUGCUUUUGUUUUCCCUUUUGGCUAAGACCAUACUUGGUUUAUUGCUGCCUGCAGAGAUGUCAAUCUCCACUUUGUUGAGUCACCUGCUCUUGCUCCUCCUGAAGUUCAAAUUGAUAUGGCUGCACAAGCUCAGUAAGUGAUUCAUACCAUUUUUCUUUUAUGAAACAGUCCUUGUGAACCUUCUUACCUGCUAGAUCCACUGAGAGAAAAAACUUCUAAAUGUAAAUUUUUGCUGUCAGUAUGUGGGUGAUAAUCAUGCCUUGAAAUUACUUGAGGAAAACACAAUAACAUAUUAGUAGCUUGGUGGUUUGUUGAUGACCGCAUAAAUCCAAUUCAAGAAAUUAUGUUGUAGCUUAAGAUUAUCUGGGGAAUUUCUAACUAUUGGAAGCAAUAAUCCAUCUUUAAACACAUUGGCCAUUUGGGUUAGAGUUUUGAUUUUGAUAUUGUACCCUACCAAGACUACCAGCAUCACUGCCAUAGAUUAUGAAAAAAUUUCCAGCUAAUAUGCAAUAUUUAGCAAUUUUUUUAUGGAGUUACGUGGAAAUUUCUUGCUAAGACUAACUAUUUUGGUGAUUUUGUUUCAGCCAUGAAGCAGAGUUGGCAGCAGCCGCAGCACAACCACUUCCUGAUGAUGAUGAUGACACGUUUGAGUAGUGGGGAUUUGGCCGCCCAAGCUUGUGUUUGCUUGUCUCGCCAAACAAAAAUGAGAGAAACUGUUGCGAUGUUUGCUAUUAUUGCCCAUCAACAUGUUUUGGUUGAGAAUUUGUUCCUGCAAUGUGCCUCAGUUUUCCAGUUGAAAUCGAAGGGUGGGGGGUUGUACUAUGAUGAGAUUCAAUGUCCAGCUUCUUCAUUUAGAUAUCUAGAAUCUUGUUUUUCAUUUCAUGCAUGUUGAAUGUCAGGGCGGAGGUGUACUGUCUUGCUUGCUCCUCUAGUUCUGAAGUUAGAAAGGAGUUUUCUUACUUUUCCUUUCAUCAUUUGGUGUUAUUGUCCAAUAUCCCUUUCAUCAUUUUUAGCAUUAUCAUCAUCUCCAUCGUUGGUUCUUUUUACUCUUAAACCAUCAUAACCAAAAUCCUAAAAUUAUAAUUUUAAAAAAUCACAAACAAAAUUGAAGCAAUAUAACAUUAAGAAGCUUUCAAUUGAAUUGUAUAUAAACCAAAAUGAAAAUUAGGUAUCUAUAGAAAAAAUUCUGAUCAAACAAACCCUUGAAUGAUCAUAAAGCCAUUAUAAUUCAAUUCUACCUGUUGGAUCAAAGUUUGGUUGAAAUCUUAUGGUUAUAUCUUCAUCUAACAGUAGGAAGCACUUCCCUACAUAUGGAUUGAAUUUAAAACACAUGGAAAAAUUUUCAACCAUUGGAUCAAGUUAUUGAAGAUGAUAGAAAUAAUUGUAUAUCCCAAAAAAAUCGCCAAACUACCAGCCCAUCUUUUGUUGACUUGUGUGAGAAAUUUUCUAACAUUUUGGUCCAAGAUAAUUGAUGAAAAUAUCAACAAUCAUAGAUAUAUCCAUACUUUAAUUUUACGGAUAUAUUAGAGAUAUAUCAAUAGAUAUUUUAAAAAAAGAAAUUCGAUAAACCAUGAUCAAAACUCAUAUAAAUAUAAGAAAAAUAUUAUAACAAUGUAAUUAGAAAUAUAAUAGACAUUUUAAAAUUGUUUUAUUGAAAAAUUUGAUAUAUGUAUGAUAUAAUUUAUUAUAUUUGAUAAUAAUAUCAUAUGAAUUAAUAAAAAAAAUAUGAAUUUUGUAAAUGUGCAUUUAUUAUUAAAUUACAUCAAAUAUUAUUUCAUAAUAAUAUUAUGAUAUUAAUUAUAAUAUGUCUAAUUUUAAAAUUUAUUUAAUAUUAAAACAAUGAUUCAUUUAAUUCAAUUGUAUUAAAUGAAAUAAAAUAAAUGAUAAUAUAUGUAUAUUUUUUUAAAAAAAAUAUUUAUAUUCCUUAUAUUUAAUUAAUAUAUAAAUAAUAUUAAAAAAAAAAAGCUCAAGAAAAUUAUCACCAUAAUUUUUAUAUUUUUAGUGUUCAAUUAAAUUAAAUUAAAUUUAAAAAUAAAAUAAUUAAAACUAAUUUGUUUAUUAUAACAUUUUGUUUUUAUCAGUGUUGGUAUAUAUUAAUUCUAGUGCACAUCAUGUUAUGAGUAGCCAGGCAGCCCAAUGGUGAGUGGGGGUCUCUAAAGGCUUGUUUGGGCAGCUGCAAUUCAAAAUUUGAAUUCUCUUCAUUUGAAUUUUGACCGGGCAGCCCCUAAAGAAUCUUUAGAUCAACGCAGGGAAGCUCAAAGCCGUCGGAUCAGCGGACCAAGGAAGUAGGGAUAGAGCGCCGUUUUCACAAAAAAAAAAAUAAUAAUAAUAAAAUUGCCCAUAAAUCGCCAAAUUUUCACAAGAAAUUUUGACGAAAUUUCAUCCAUUUUUUCCGAAAUUUUGAUCUAUGACGGUAACCAUGGAGGAAAAUAUCGGGAUAUAUCGGCGAUAUAUCGCCGAUAUAUCGUGUAUCGGGAGGAGUCGACACGAUAUUUCAUGGAGAAAAAUCGAAGAGAAGAUAUUUCCGUAAAUAUCGUCAAAAUAUCGGCGAUAUAUCGCCGAUAUAUCGGUUCGGGGAGAUAUAUCGAAGAUUUUUUCAAAAAAUCUCCUCUGGUGGCAAAAAAUCGGUGAUAUAUCGGUGAUAUAUCGGAGAUAUAUCGGUGAUAUAUCACUGAUUUUUUGGUGAUAUUUCCCCUCCUUCAUGCAACAUGAUCUGACGGCUCAGAUCACGCCUGUAUUGAUCCGACGGUCUAGAUGUGAUUCCAAUGGUAAUAUGGCGAUCCAACGGCCCGAUUGCUCCCAGUUUUUUAUCCAACGGCUAAAAUUGAUUUUCAACAGUAAAUUAAUGUUCCAACGGCUAUUUUGGCCCAAAUUUCUUCUAUAAAUAACCCAAAUUUCAUCUAUUUCAUCCAUUUUUGCUUUCAUUCUUCAUUUGCUCUCUCAUUACUCCAAUUUUUAUUAAGGUUGCUCAAUUAUUUAAUUAUUUUAAGGUAUAUUUGUUUUAAAUUAUAAUUAAUUUUAUUUGCAAUUGUAAUUAAUUCAUGUAUUUUCAAUUAAUUAGUAUGUUUGCAAUAUGGAUGAUUUAAUGCUAUUUUUACAUUCAAUUGUAAUUAAUUUUUAUAUUUUUAUUGAAUUAACUUAGGUUGAUUUGAUUAUUUAAUUAUAAAUUGAUAUGUUUAUUUUAGAUGAUUAUUUGUGAUUUAUUUUCACAUUUAGAAUUAAAUUAAACUAGUUAACUUAGCUAAAUUAUUUAAUUAAUUUAAUUAACAUGAAAUAGUAUAUUUUGAAUAUGAAAUAUGUUUAUUUAAUGAAUUUAAUGUGUACAAAUUAUUGAUAUUUAAUUAAAUGAAAUAUUUUAUGUGACUUUAUAAUGAGAACAAUUACAAAAUUAACAUUUCUUAUAGAUCGACAUGAUGUAAUUACAUCUAAUAUCGCAAAUUAUAUCAUAUAUAUAUCAAAUUUUUCAAUAAAACAACUUUAAAAUGUCAAUUAUACUUCUAAUUAUAUUAUUAUGAGGUUUUUCUUGCAUUUCCAUGAGUUUUUAACAAUUUUAAGUCUACCGAUAUUUUUUUCCAGAAUAUCCGCCGAUAUAUCUCCGAUAUAUCCGAUAUAUCCGUAAAAUCGAAGUACCGAUAUAUCCGUGAUUACCGAUAUUUUCUUCCAUGACGGUAACAACCAUGGGUUUGUUAUAUCCUCCUUUAUGUGAUUAUUUUAAAUUUUUUUGUCAAAUUCAAAUCUUAUUAAAAAAUUACGUUUAUUUUUUUUUUACUAAAGGCAAUUUUAAUAACCAUGGUUACAAGGCAAAAUUACAUAAUGCCCAAUCAUGAGGUAAUUCAAAUCUGAUAAAAAAAAUUAUGUUUAUUUUUUCAUUUUUAAAUUAUCUUUAUCUUAUUAAAUUACUUUUAAAUUUGAUUUAAAUAAUUUAUUAAAAGUAUUUCAUAAUAAACACACUGACGAUGUUUCCUUUACGUAUUUUACAAAUUACAAACUGCAAAUCUUUAAGCUUUAUAAAAAUUAACAAAGCAUUUCUUAGAUUUUCGUUUUCGUUGCUCUAAGCUUCAGUUUUUCAUAUAUAUAUAUAUAUAUAUAUAUAUAUAUAUAUAUAUAUAUAUAUAUAUAUAUAUAUAUAUAUAUAUUAAUUUAUAAAAUAAUAAUACGAAAAAAUUAAAUUGAAAAAAAAAAAAAACAGAGGAUAGUUUUGUCACUAACCCACAUGCAGGACAUUUUUUUAUUAAGAAACCUUGAAAUGGGCGUCACAACUCUUCCCAAUUGCCGUCCCAUGUAAGUGCGUCAGAGAUGGAAAAUACAGCCGGACAAUAUGAAGCUCGCAAUUUCCACAAAUAGUAAAUGAUAACAGAGUCAAAUGCAGUCUACCCACCAAUGCCUUCCAAAACCCAGGGAAAAAAAAGAAACUAGAAAAGAUAAAAUCCAGACUAAACAACAUGUAACAGAUCAAAAACAGUUAAAGAGGGCUGAAUAUACCACCGGUCUCACAAGACUUAAGGCAUCGAGGGAUCUCCUCUUCAUGGUCAUUCCUCAAUAAUAGGAUAGAGGUGCAGCAACUCAUCUAUUACCAAGUCUUCAAUGAACCAAUAAUAGCCUCAAGGUUUUCUUCUUAUGGCAAAUUUUCCAGAAAAGUAUCAUCAGAAUCACAAAUACAAAAACCUUGUGCUUAAUCAUCUGACCAAUUGUCAUUGACUGAUCCAAUGGAAUUGCCUUUCAGGUUUUUCAUGAUCACUACAAUUUGAAAGUAUCACCUCUGCCCCAACCUUGUAAAUACGUGUCUCAAGGUCCUCUUUCACCCUGUUCAACCACUAAAAAUGGUUACCUAUAGAGCAGUAACAACAGUAAAUAAAAGAAACAAAUUAUGAAAGAAAAAAAUGAAAGAGUGAGCCAUUUAUAAAUUGUCUUACAAAAAUCAAAAUAGACCAUAAGAACUAUUCAGGGUUCUUAGCAGACAGAACUUUACCAAUUAACUAGGAAGGAGGUCAAGCUUUUUGAGAAUCAAAAAACAUAUGAUCCUGUUGAAUCUGAAUAAUUCAGAUCCUAGCAAAACAAAAAAAUAAAAAAACAAACAAAAAGGAGAAAAGAAAAGAAAAGAGGAAGCAUUAAAAUGUGAUCACAUUUCAAGUAGGUGAAACUACUAAAUAAAAAUUGUAACCAUUUUCUGUCACAUAUAUAUAUUUGAUAACGCGCACCUCAACUAAUCCCAUGGAGCCCUGAAGCUAACGACCAGACAAUCCUCCAGUGGCCCUGAGGGGACUCGAACUCGUGACCAUUGGGGAGCAAACCCAAGACCGGACCAACUGAGCUAUCCCUCAGGGUUCAUUUUCUGUCAUAUAUCACACAAGGUUGGUUUAACCGCAAGCAGGAGAAAAUAUCUAGUGGUAGUAUACAUUUUAUCCAUUACACUCAGAGGCAUCAAUCCAUCUCUACAAAACAAAUUUUAGAUGCAACAAAUAAAAUGAAUUGAAAUCCUAUAAAUAAUAUAAUAAUAAAAGGGAAAAGAACAUAACAAAAAGGAAAAGAAUACAAAUCACCAUAGUGGAAAGAAUACAAAUAACCAAAGGGAAGAUGAACCAUAAUCAACCUACUGCAGCAACUACCCCACAGCCAAUUCCUUCCGACCCAAUAAAUAAAUAAAUAUUGUAUAGUAAGUUGCAUGUAAGAAAAGAUACAAAUGUGAGGCCUGAUAUUGUGAUAUAUAACAAAAUGGUAAAAAGCAUGAAGAUCCUGUGUAAUAUGAUUGUUUGGAGAAAACACUAAUAAUUCCACAAAAACUGGUUGAAAUUAUGUAAAUUCUACAUCAUAGAGACAAGAAAAUUGCACACAAUCUAGGCAACCUUGGUAUUGUUUUUUAACAUGAUUAACAAGCCUGUAGUGACAUUCUUUCAGACACCAGCCAAUAGGUACUAUGACUUAGAUUAACCACUCAGCAGUUUGCUUCACUUCCCCCAAAAAAUUAUGAAGUAAAGAAAUAUCCCUCAACCAAAACUUAGGCACUGAGCAGCUUCUUCCCUAGAUGACUACAAGGAACUUACUUAGCCCCCACAAAACCAGCUAUCCCAGGCAAUGUUUUUCCCCUCUUUUGUAAAUUUCCUCAUUCAAGGAUAAAGUGAGUUCCUGAAUCAAUUUUAAAAUUGUAUGGUCAUCCCCUCAUAACACAUCCCAGGGAAUUCAAUAGUUCUUGGGUAAAUAUCACAGAUAUUGUACUUUUCUUGAUUAGGUUGUGAAAUUUCUAAAUUAAUCUACACAUUUUGAAUGAUUAUAUACUCCAAUGGCAUGCAUAGCUAUUUUUUUAAUAGGUAACAUUUUCUUUUUCCUAUGGAAUCAAACCUGGAACCUUCCCAUAUCCCUAUUGCAACCACUUGCUACUUGAGAAUAAGUUGCAUAGCUAUUCUCACCCUGGGUUUCAAUCUUGAAUUUCCCAAUGUGUUCCAUCUGUCAGAACAAAAACAAACAUCCUCCCUCCCUCAUCUAAUCAUCACAAACACCCACAAAUUAAAGGGUGUUUUACUGAGUGUAUUAACACUGAGUUCUGACAAGCAAAGAAAACAUUAAAUGUUAUAAUAGUAUGGGCCAAGACACAAAUAAACAGAAAACAGGGACAAUGCAAGAAAUACUGAAAAUUGUUUAGAACUCCCCAAAGCAAUUGUGAAUAUGGAUUUUAACAAGUUAGGACGACAGUACAGGAUUUUUUUUCCUUUUCUAUUCUUCUCACUAACAUAUACAGUUGGUAUAAGGAUUCUCAUAGCAUAUCUUUCAUAUGAUCAUGACUUACAUCUCAUAACAGAAAAAAUAAAUAAAUAAAGGUAAAAAAACAUGCUUAAUAUAAUCUUCACCAUUUACAUUUUUAUUUUCUAUGCUAUUUCUGUAUAACUACAUGAAUUCCAAAACUGCAUAUCUGACUUGGUGAGUCAGAGAUUCUUAAAUUUCAAGAACAACAAACUUUGAACCAAUAUGCAAAAGGACUUCACAUAAGUGAACUUGCAAUUAAUUUAAGCAUCCUAGUUGGGGGCAUUUAAAGAAAUGAGGUUGCUAUUCAGUUUACCUCACAUUCUGGUUGUGGGGUGGGGUGGAUGGGCCUCCACCGUUUUAUCUUCAAUAGCAGUUAAGUUCCUCUCGUAAGGACGGAGUUGUGGGUGACAGCUUAAAAGUAAUCAAGUUGAAAGAAAUUGAAGAGAUGGAAGAAGAUUUUUAUCUUAAAUGUAGGGGAAACUGAUUCUCAACCAAGAUACAAUUUAUUGUUCAUGACCUUUUUCAUGUUUGAUUUGCAUUUUACACCUUUCCUUGUCUCAAUGGCUGCAAGAUAUAAAGGCUUUUGAGGAAUCUUAUAUUGGAUGGCCCAAUUUAUUGUUCCAAUAUCUUCUGGCUGAUCCUAGGUCCAUGUCUACUUAUGGAGAAAAGUAGGGUUUGGCAUUUGAGAUUUGUUGAUUGUGAAAUAAGCACCUAAGGAACUCUUUUUUAAAUUUUAAUAUUUGAUAGUAAGGAAUAUUGAUGGGAUUUUUGUAUGAUACAAAAGUCUCACUCCUGUUCUUUAUUUCUUAAGCUUGGUCCCGCUUUCUUAAGCUCACUUGCUCACCAUCCUCUGUCCUCAAGUCCAACCCAACCCAACCCCGUGCAGCAACCAACACCACCCCCCCAAACCCCAAAGACCCCAACACUGACCCACCCAUUGGCCCACCCCUUCCCUCUCAAAAACCUAUCCUUCACUCUCUCCCCCUUCCCCUUUUAGUUAUAUAUAAGUUCGUUCAAAUGCAGGAAAAUACGAAUUUAGAUUAUUUUACCAAACUUGUUCUUCGAUAGGCAAUUUUUUUUUUCCUUUUUGGUACCUGUUGGGACUUUAACCUAGAACCUCCCACAACCUCGCCUCCACCCUUUACCGCUUGAGUUAGGCCUCAAAGACUAGACUAUUUUAAUAAACUUAUUAUGAUUUUGUCUCUCUUCAUUUUCAUAGUUUCAAGAAUAAAUUGGUUUGAGAAGGACAUGGACUUUGAUCUGCUGAUGAAUAGGAUGGUGCAUUGCAUAGCACAACAUGAAGUGCAAAAGGUGCAGCAACCCCUAUACAAGAAUAUAGGAUAUACCAGAAAGGAAAGAGCGAAAAAAAGAAAAAGAAAAAGAAAAAUCAAUGCAUGAAUGAAAUAAAGUAAAGAAGUAACCCCUAACAAUGACUUACACUCAAACCCUUCCCAUGUCUUCAAAAAAAUCCAAACACCAUAAAGAUUUUGUUCCCAUACUUACAUCAUAUAGCUGUAGACAACAACUAAAAGAUAGUAGAAUAUCUGAGUUGGUCAGAAGAAAAGAUACAACAGAUCAAAAAUCCAUAUUAGUAGAGUUGGGAUAGGAUAAGCAAAAUUCUUUAAUAGACUUUUACAUGUAUAUAGCUCAAACCCAUUUAUAUCAGGAAAAAUUUCCAUCGCAGAAAUUCUAUGUUAAAUCCAUUGUUGCAUCUUUAACUGAAGGUGGGGAUGGGUCAUUCCUGAAGAAGGAUGCAUGUGCUCUCUGGCUACAAUUAUGGGGGACUCUUUGCAAUCUGUAAAUCAACCACUUCGUAAGAAAGAGAGUUUUUUUGGAGGAUGUCUCCUUUCCAUUUGCAGGUAGAAGAAGCAUAAUAGAAGAUUCUUUUUUAGCUUGGAGCUUAUACACCACAUAAGUGCGAGGAAAUCUUUAGAAAUUUUAUUUUGCGAGGAUUUACAGUCAACCAACCUUAAAAGAUUUUUCUUCUUUUCAAUUACGGGAAGAUAUGAGGAUAUGCUGAUUUCUUUCCUCUCUUUUUUCUAGGUUUAUAUACCUUGUAAUUACAUAGGUAUAUAUCAGAGGGUAAUAAAUCCUAUUAAACAACAUUCCAAAGAACAAUUGCAAGAAUAUAAGUAUUUUUGUAAAUAAUAUGGUCUAAAGUCGUGAAAUAUUAAUGUAUUCAAAUCACAAAUUGAAGUAAACAAUAAAAAGUAAUACGCCAGAGAUAUUGUAAAGAACAAUUCAGAUUAUUUUGGAACAUUGAACUGAAUAAAAUUUAGUACUGGCACAACUUGGAAUCAUGAACUCCCUAUACCAUUGCAUUUCCUAAUUUUGAAAUCAAACCACAUUACAAGGUGUAUUAUCCAAAGUAGUGAAAAAGCAUAUAACUGCAAACAAUAAUAUUAUGAUGCAAUAUGCAAAAAGGAAAAACACAGAUCAGCAUGCAAGAGAAGCAAUGAUGUGCAGUAUUUAAAUGAAAGUUUAACAAGGACACCUUCCACAUCAGGAAAUUCAUGCCAGCUUUGUCAAAGUUUUGUUUUUACUUUCUCUGACAUAAGACGCAUCAACGGUUCACAGCAAGCCUGAAAACCGCGCAUCAUCUUUAGACCUUUGGAAGCAAGGCAUGCAUGCCUCCAACUUUGGCCCUGGAAAAUGCAGGGGAUUCAUCAAUAACAUCCUCAAAACGGAACUUCCUAUGCUGUCAAAACGUAUGGAUGAAAUCAAGUUAUUAUAAAUUAGUUCUGGAAGAUUUUUAUAUCAAAACUGAAGAGUACUGAAUAGCUGCCUACUACUUUAACUACUCAUACAUAAAUCAACCCAUACACUAACUAAUAAAAGGAAAUAAAAGUAAUGGGGAAAAGGAAACAAAAUUGCCAUUUGCUAGAAGAUGUAAUAACAUUGUCAACAUCCAUGCCUCAGAUUCCAUAUGUACACCCACAAUACAAUAAAAAUGCUUCAAUGUUCAGAAAAAAAAAUCAGUCACCCUGUCUUACACAAAAAAAAAAAUGGAUGAUGGACAUAUAUCAGAUCACUUUCAAAGAUAAAGACUUUCAAACAAUGCAGAAGUCAAUAAGAGUUCUCUCACACCAAAUGGAAAGGCUAUUAUCUUCACAUAAAUUACAUAUAUUGCCUUGAAAGAUACAAUUUGGAUCACAAAGGCUGUAUCUUUUCUCAGUUCUCACUGCAAAUAUAUCUGUUGCAUUUGCUUAGCAUUCACAACUAUUAAAAAUAUAUUCCAGAUCUUUACUAGGAAAUACUUAAGGAUUAUGAGCUCAGAAAGAAAAACUAAUUGAGAAGAGUAAUAACACCAGGCCUGAAAAUAUUCAUUUCUUUAUAAGAUCUCUGGUACAUAAUUUCCAAGUUACAGUAAUUCAUCGUCAAGACAACUGCACAUUGACCAAAGAAGACAAAGCUAAAAAAUUUAACAAUUUAUCCUGCUUCUUACAUUGUCGGAGGGGCUUUAAAGCCAAGUAAAAAAAGAACCUAUUAUAAAAAGAAGGAAAAAAAGAAAACCAAACUACUAGUUAAUUACAAAAAUUUAUUCCAGCAGAUAUUAAGUUCUUUAGCUCCAUCAAAUGUUCAUCAUUUGAAAUAUGAAGUGAACAGCGAAGAUUUGUCAACAUUGUUGAUUGUUCCCAACUUAAAGGCCCAGAAGCAUGCAAUGCCGCUAGAGUGCGGCGAUAAGCAUGCAACUCUAAACUAUGGAUACUUGCUGCUAAUUCCUUUUCAAGAGAAAUGGGGCACUUUUCCUCCUCAUCUCUCACAUCUCCCUCAUAUCUCUCAUCUUCCUCAUCUCCCUCAUCUCUCUCAUCUCUCUCAUCUUCCUCAUCUUCCUCAUCUCCCUCAUCUCCCCAAUGGUAAAAUGAUUCAGCAUCACUACAAAGGUCAUCUGUAUCUUGUCUAGGAUGUGCUAAAAUACAACUGGAAAACUUAUUAGGACCAUUAUUAUUAAUGCUACAACUACCAACAGAGCAUGACAUGCUAUCAGAAUCAUUAGAUUCUGAACUUCUUGCAAGAAAACAAUCAACACCAUUUGGUUUUCCCCUCUCCAUUUCGCAAUAUUUAGUUGAACGGUCAUUAAAGGAAGCAUGCAUGUAUUUUUCACCCAGAUUCAAUCGUGGGUAAGCAACAGCAUCUACCUUUGCUCGUAAUGGAGAUGAAUACCCGGUGAUCACUCGUUGGCGUCCACCAUUUUCGAUUGCUCUCAUCUUCUGAAUGUUUCCAGAGUAUGCUUCAAGACCAGAGGAGCAAUAUGGGGAUGCUCUCUUCAAUGUCUUGGAUGAGACCAUAGGAGAAUCCUGGAAAUCAGCAUGCUUCUGAAAAAAAUCAUCUCCUGCUUGCAAUUUUAGCUUCAUAUCAGCUUGUGGCACCUGGAAACUCAUCUUCUGAUGACAAUUUGAAGUUAACAGCUUGUUGACUCUCACAUCUUCAAAAGUGAUAGAGCCCUGAGGGCAGAAGCCAAAAGUUAGUAAGUUAAUGUAGAAGUGAAGAUAACCAAUAAGAAUCACCAACAAUUUUAGUAUUGAAGAGAAAAAGACUAAGAUCAGUAGUGGACUUGCAAUUUUAAAAAGCCCCAAUAUCCUAACAUAACUACUUGAUAAACAUAAUUUAAAAAAGGAAAAAAAAAAAAAAGGAAUACAUGAACUUGACUGAAGAUGCAAUUCUCAAAUGCCGAAACCAUGAGCAUAACCAAAACCAUUAUUGAACAACUAUUUUAAGAAGUUUGCAUUCGGACCAAUAACAAGAAACAAAACACAAGAUCAAUCACCAAAGGAGGAUAGAAAAUUACUACAAUAGAACCAGAUUAUUACCUGUCCAAUCACAACCCAUUUGUCAUCUAUCCAAGCUUGUCGCACUCUGAUGUUAGACUUGUGGACUUCAAAUUCGUGGCAAGAUCCAAGUAGCCUAACCAAAUAGUAAACCGCACAUGUAACCUUCAAAACCAUAGCACAUUUCCAAGAACCAUCAUUGAACACCUCCACAACAUCACCAGUCACCCAACUUUCCAUACCUUUCACAGGGAGAGGGCAAGGUCUAAUAGCCUUCCUAGACACCCUAUCCACAUUCGCCUUAUUUGUCAUGCCCAGAUAAGAGUCAUACCUAACACUGUAGUUGUGCCCAUUACCGGAGAUAAUUUCAGCACAGUGCCAGGCACCUGAAGGCACUUCCUUUUUGUUCAAUACCUCCACUUUACUCCCUUUCCUGAAUUUCAUGUUGGCAGCAACUUCACUAAUCUAACAUUCCAAAACCUGUCACAACCAAGAAAUUAAAUAAAAAUUUAAUCAGAAAAUUCCAAUGCAUUCCAUAAGAACAAAACAACUACAGAAAGGGUUAUAUUAAUUCCAAUGCUUUGUAGAACUUCCCUAUUUCUAUCUUUUUUCUCUUCAAACCUGAAAUCCGUUUUUUUCCUUCUUAGGAGCUGUUUUCCAUUGAAACAAACAGAUCAGGAAGAAGAGAAGAGAAUGAGAACAACUUUUAAAUAGAUCUUUAAAAACAGUAGUUAAUGAUUCAAAACUUACAUAAAAAAUCCCAUAAUCAAAUCAUAUAAAAACAAAAUCAAGGAAAAUAAAAAUUAAAAGUUUGAUUCUCAAUAUGAAUUUCUUGUACACCCAUCACUCACGGGAAACUCCAAAAUGCCCAAAAAGUAUAAAGAGAAAAUAAAAAAAAAAUAGUGAACAGUUCAAAAAAUUAGUCCCAAUUUUUUUUUUUAAAAAAAAACAUCAGAAACUUUCGAGAAAACCACAAGCAAACUUUGAUCACCAAAAUCCUUAUAAGAAUUAAUCAAAUCAAAUCAAAGUAAAGCAAACCAAAAUCACUAAAUACAUGACAACAAAAACUCAAAAUCCGAAAAAAAAAUAAAUUAACACAUACACAACCUAAAUUUCUCAUCAGCAUGCAAACACCACGAAACUAUUCACUCAUUUCCAAUUAAAUAAACAGUAAUUGAAAAAAAAAAUAAACAAAUAAUAUUGAAAAUUUGAAAACUCUGAAACUUACCUUCAUCAAGAACCAAGCAGAGCAGAAGAUGAUUUUCGAAACCUGAGAGCUGAAUCGAUUUUGCAGAAAAAAAUAUAUGAAAACUAGGGUUUGUUAAAAUGAAUUUAUUUGAAGAAAAUAAAAAAAUAAAUACAAAGUUAAUUUAUACUAAUUUUGCAACCCACAAAAAGUGGAGGUGCGCAGUGCGCACAACCUACACCUAAUUCGUAAAGCAGGAAAGGUAUAAGCGUAGAGGAUCGAGAUCCCGAGUUCAGAAGCACUCUCCUGAUCUUGCCACGUUGGCAAUGAUGGGUUUUUGAUGAGGUGUCAAGAUCAGAGGAGGGAUGAGAAAUAUUCGGGUGUGGAAUGGAGGUACUACGGUUGUCGGAGCAGGAAUUCGUAUUCUUAAAUAUUUGUGAUGAUAAGUAUUUGAUGACACGUGUACAGUCAAAUAGAUUAUUGGGAAUUUUGGGAUUUAUCUCUUAGGUAAUUUUUAAUCCUAGACUCCUACUACAACUGCACCUCUCCAUUUUAGAAUUUUUUAUUUCUUUCAAACUUAUCUGUUACGUGCCUUCUCCAUCAGUUUUAUUGGAAAUCAAUUAACUAAAUAUAAAUACUCUUACCUGAAUUUGUAUUGAUUUUCCAAAUAAACUAACCAAACACCAUUCCAUAUUCCAUAUGUGUGGAUUGAUCUUUAUUGAUAUUAUUUGUACUCUUUUAAUUUAAAGAAAAACUAAAAAUAAUUUUAAUCCCAACCAUAUACUAAUACCCUUCUUAUACAAUUUUCAAACCGCCCUAAUUUUGACCAUCUUUGAAAAUUUGGAAUAGAGAAUGAGAAUGAAAAAUCAAUAUCGUCUAACAGGAUUUUGAUUCCACUCUUCUACAUGGUAUAAUAAUUCAUCCUUACUCUCAUUUUGUUUCCAUUCCUAUUCUCGGGUAACAAACGGACUUCAAUUGUAUUGAAAAAGGGGUCAAAAGUAUUGAUUAUAAGAACCCAAUAAAUAUUUGAAAUUUUACAUGUUUUGGGGUUUCAUUGAUUAAGAAUUAAAAUACAGAAUUAAAAGAGAAAAUUGAAGUUUGGUCUUAUUCAAGGGGCGGAAAGGCAAGAGUGGAUGAAUGUACAAGCUGGACAUUGAAGUUUUGUUGUACCAACCUCUCGUGUCAUUGUUGCCUAAUCUCAAGUGGUAUAAUAUUUUAGAAUUCUUGGAAUGAUAGAGCCAUCAAGCCAUCAAAUAAAAGAAAGGAAUGGGGGUAGUGUAUGAGUUGCUUCAAUUGACCCAGGAUGAGGACCAAAAAACAAUGUCAAGAUUCCUCCCCACAGGCAUCGAUAUGAUGCCCUUCAUUGCCUUUUUCUUAAUGAGAAGCAACAGAGAUUCCAAACCUUGUGUAAUGUGAGACAGAUCCAAAACCCAACGAUGUUUGCAAUGUAAACCAGGGCAGGCAGCCAGUUAUUGUGGGGUUGGAGCCUGAGGCCAGCAGCCUCACCAUUGCCCACUAGGCAAACCUGCAACCUUACCACAGAUGGCUAACAGAUUUAUCAUUUAUAUGCAGUUGCUGUAAACAAUGCAUGGUCCCUGAAUUUUCUUCCUUAGAAUGACGGUUAAUACAAGCCUUCCAGGAAGAUUGGGGUGCUCAACAACAGCAUCCCACCGUGAUUAACAAUAGUAUCAACCCAUGAGAACAUGUAGAAAGUUUCUCUUCGAUUAAAUAAACUUAUAAAAAGAAUACCAUAUUUCCAGCCUUAAUCUUACAAUUGCCGGUUUGACUCAAAACCAUGACAGCCUAUAGCCAGUUUCAGAAAUUCUGCGUUGGGCAUCAUUUUAUACAUAUAAUACCCACAUAGAAAGAACACGAUAGUGGGUUAUCUAGCUGGGUCCAUGUUUUCUCCUUAAAGGCCAAAUAUCCCAAGAGUAGGCAGCACAAAAUCUGAAUAAACAAGGCCAACAGAUCCCUCCCAAGACAGAUACGAGAGAAGCGUGCUUCAUACCAUCCAAGGUGUUACACAUUGGAAGGUUAGCAAUUCUGGAUCGUUAAUAGCGGGGCAGAGUCUAGAAACCUGAGAAAAGUAAACACAUAGCUUAUCUAGAGAUCAAAACGUGCAUGCUGGCCUGAGCAUUCAAAAGAAACAACAAACUUGGGGAUGAAUUAGAAAGGUGAAUAAGGUUGGCUUUGAAUUUGCAACCAUGGACUUGCCUCUAUUUCAUAUUGAAGUUCAGAUGGCAUAAAUGUCCAGAAAAGUACAAAAUACCAAUGUUUCAGAUCCAUGCCAUUCAUCACGUAUAAAUGCUGCAAAUUGUUAGAAAGGACAGAAAAAUAAAAACAGACAGCAAAGGAGGAAACCCAUCUAAGAAGAUAAGAUACAUCUUAGGGGAAAUAAGAAAAACUCUAAGAAGGCAUAGGGGAGCCUAAAGGUGCAGCAAAACCCUUUUAGCCAAAGAAGAUCCAAAUUGCUACCCUAAAUUCAAUAUACAAAUGCAUCAAAAGGCAAAGAAAUAUCCACAAUUUCUCUCAUAGAUUAAGUGCUAAGAAAUAGCCAAUCUAGAAUUAACCAUCUGAUCACAUUACUCAGGUCCCACAAUAAUGUGAAUCUUACCCGUUUUCUCUAGUUUCCCAAGCCCCCAUAAGAGUGCCAAAAUGCGAUGAACUGUUGGCACUAGUCCUACAUUUUGUCUCUGUAGACCAGGCGAAUGCAGGCUCCAAUACCCAACCAAAGGGCCACUGCUGUAUCAAUCAAAAAGACGGUCUUCAUUACUGGACAACAAAAUUGAUUAUAAAAUUUAUUAACACUCUCCAAAAAAAAGGAAGGUACUGUUAAAACAAUAACUCAAACCACUUCAGCUUCACCAACCAAUCUCAAGAGAAAGAUACAUGAAUACUGCCAGUAACAGUAUGCUCUGGGUUAUCAGUGGAGAACACAUUAAAGUUUAAUUUCAAAUGGCUACAGGGAAAGAUACAUGUAUUUUAGAUACUCAAUUUGUUCUUGUUACAAUAGAGACUAGAAUUUCAAUCUCUAACAUGAUACUUUGACUUUUAGUAAACACCUAUAUCCCUAAAAUUAUAUAUGAAUGGAAUAUAAUUGAGUAGCCAAACUAUCAAGCUUGAAACAGCUUGACCAUUCCAGCUAUAAGCCACAAGUGAAAUAGAAUCACUAGUUCACUGAUAAACCAGUAGGCUAUAAAUUUUGCUUACAAACUCAGAUCUUGCUUACCAACCAUGAUACAAUACUGCACAUUUCUGCAAUUAUCAUUCCUGUUAUCAAUAAUUAACAGGUUGUCUCCACAUGAAAUCCUUCACAUGCCAAAGUGGUUAAAAACAACACAACCACACAAACAUGUGGCUAGUAAUAGUGGCCUGCUUACAAUUACUUAUCUCAAACCUGCAGUUUUUCAGUUUAUACAGCAAGAAAUCAGGUCUUUACACUAGGAAAAUUUAAAAAAUUGAUCAAUUUAUGCAACAAUAAAUGCCAGGAGUAUCUUAGCAUUUGCUCUAUUAAAAAAGGAAAAAUCAUAUAUUGGCACAAGCAAAUGUCAGCCAAUUUGAUAACUUAUACAAAAAAAAGUGUAUGGACUUAUGGUUCAUACCUCGAGAGAAUGCAGAAGGUGUAAUCAAUGUUAAAGGAGUGCCCAGCAUUCUAGAGUUGUUUAGAUCCAUUGAUCCAGGGAAAGAUGAGGACAGUCAACCUAGUAGAUAAGAAGGGGGGAAAAAAGGAGCAACUGGUAAGUAAUGCACAAGCCCAUCAGAGUGAUCCCUAUAUAUAAAAAACACACUAUAGGAUAGUGUAAUGGACCUUAUCUUCUUGGACGGAUAAGCUUACAAGGAUAAGCGUCACAGCUAACAACAUAUUUCUUCCUUGAUGACUUAAACAAAGGCAAGAAGCAAUUUACAAAGAAUGACCAAUUGAGUGCUGAUUUAACCAUGUGAAGGCCUAGAAAGGGAUCGAUCUCCUUUGAACUUUCCAUUUAUGAGAAUAUCAUAGGUUACAUCAUCAGGUACAAGGCCUCUGUCAAGCAUCUCAUCAUGCAAUGUAAAAGCCUCUUUCAAAUUCCCUUCCCUGAAAUAACCAGCUAUCAGUGUGUUAUAAAUAAGAACACUAGGAGUCAUAUUUUUCCUAUCCAUCUCUUCCAAGAUCUUCCGUGCAUUCUCUAGCUGUCCUUUAUUGCAAAGUCCAUUUACCAGAACAUGAAAUGUGAUAAUAUCAGGCACAAUACCCUUGGAAAGCAUCUCCAUGUAAAGAUCUGAUGCAAAGACAAGUCUACCUUCUUUCAGCAAUCCAUCAAUCAAAGUUGUGUAUGUUCCUAAAUCACAAGGAAUCCUGUCAUUGAUCAUCUUCUUAUACCAAACAAGUGCUGCUUCCAUGUUAUUCAGAUCUCUGAAGCCACUAAUCAUGCUGUUGUAAACAAUUCUAUUUGGGGAUAAGCCAACUUCAAGGAGUUCAAAGAAAAGAUCUUGUGCACUUUCCAUAUCCCUUCUUUUGCAAAAACCAUCAAUAAGAGCACUAUAUGCUGUAACAUCCAAUUCAAGACCCUUUUCUCUCAUUUCAUCCCGCGUUUUCAAAGCGAGAUCAAUCCUAUUACUUUUGCAGAACCCAUUAAUCAAGCUAGUGUAAGUAACAACAUUUGGGGAAACUCCAAAUUCACACAUCUCUCUAUAAACAGCCAAUGCAGAAUCGAUGUUACCCUCCUUGAUAAAUCCAUCUACAAUGCUGUUGUAAGUCAUACAGCUUGGAAUGAAACCCUCCUCCAAAAAAUUCUUCAGCUUAUCCCUUGCCUCUGACAUUUGGCCAACUUUGCACAAACCAUUGAUAAUUGUAUUAAAUGUAAAGUCAGUAGGGGCAAUAUUUAAGCUCAGCAUUUGGUCAAACAAGUCUAAGGCUUUUUCACUAUCACCUUUUUUGAAAUUCCCAUCUAUCAAAAUAGAAUAAGUGACCACAUUUGGUUUCAAAUCCCUUGCGAGCAUGUCUGAGAAUACACUGGAUGCCAUAUCCAUAUUCCCUUUCCUGCAGUGGCCAAGUAUCAUGUCAUUGUAAGAAACUACAUUGGGUACCAUUCCUUGAUUUACCAUAUUAUCCAAUAAACUGCAAGCUUCAUCCAUCUUGCCUCCUUUGCAUAGCCACGACAUCAUGAUAUUAUACGUAAAAAUAUUGGCAACACCACAAUCAACCGCUUCAUCAAACAGCUUGGAUGCUUCUUCCCACAAUGGAGCUUUCAAGUAACCCCGUAAUAGGGAAUUCACAUUAAACACACUAGGCGGGAUACCAUUGAGUUUCAUUUGAGUGUACAGUUCAGAAGCCUUUUCAAUGUUCCCACUGUUACAGCAACCUUCAAUCAAGACUGAAUAUGUAACUUUGUUCGGAAAAAGUCCAUCUUCAGUUAUCUUAUUAAACAAAUUCAAAGCACUAUCCAAAUUGCCUUGAGCACAAUACCCCUUCAUUAAACUCGUUGCAACCACCAAAUUCAUCGGCUUCCCACAAUUUAUCAUCUCCUCCUUUAGCCUUAAAGCCUCCACCAUAUUUCCCUGUGCCACACAAGCAACAAUAACACUAGUGAAAGUGGCCUCUGAAGGAACCCACCCCCUCUCUUUCAUCUCCUCCAACAACUCAAGACCCAAAUUCGAAUUUGGUUUCUUGCAAACAGCCUGAAUAAUAAUACUAUAUGCCCCUGCAUCAAGUUUAACACCCCUUUCCUUUGUUUCCCUAAAAUACUCCUCCGCCUCCUCCACCCUCCCUUCUUUCAGACAAGCUCGAACCAUGACAUGUACUGUAAAGUGAUCACCAUAUAUUCCUCUCAAAACCAUUUUAUUAUACAAAUCUCGCAAUUCCCCAAUCAUAUUUCUCCUAACCAGAGCAGUCAAAAGAAUAUUCAUAUACGGAACCCAAGGAAUCACAUCCUGACAGAUCAUCGCAUUGAAACAAUCGAUUGCAUUUUCAAUUCGAUUGGCCCUAAUGUAAGCAUUUAGCAAAUAAUUAAAAACCCGAUGAUCUAAUUCAAAAUCGAACCUUUUUGCGCAGUUGAUUAGAUGAUCAACAAAAACAACUGGACUGGGAUCCGAAUCACCCGAGACAUAUCGAUUAAGCAAUUUCCGAGCAUGUCCAUGAGUCUCAGGCGACCGCAUCAAAAUGUGGAGCAAAACACAGUAGGCAUCUACCCCUCUGAUAAAACCACGCUGCGUUUCGGCCCGUUUAAAGUAUCUCAGAGCUGAUUGUGGGUCAUUGACGUGGCACAGAAGAGCAUCUAUUACAUGGUUUUGUGAGAGAGGCGUGGUUUCUUGGUGAAUUUGCGAAGUGGGUACGGUGUCUUGGGAGUAUCUUGGAUAUGGGGAAGAUGAGUUUCCUGGAAAACUGGACUCUGGACUGAUUUUCUCGGGAAAAUUGGCUUUCGGAUUGGGAUCCUCGGGAAAAUGUGUAAGUGAUUCUGAGGUGGAUUUCUCAAGAAUCUCUGGUUCUGAUAUGGCUGGUGGGAUAGAAACAGAGCAGACACAUUUCGGGUUUGUGAAAGGCCAUCGUAAAAUUGGAGAGAAUGUGGACAAAGAAAUUGCAGAUCUCAUGCUUGGUUUCUGCAGAAACGAAGGGCUCUACAAAACCUCGAAGCUGUUAAACUUAAACCCUACCGGUCCUCGAUUGUGAUUUGGGCCUGGUUUGCUAUGGGCUGGGCUUGUUUGCAUCGGGUCGGAGAUUUUAAACCCAAGCCCAAUUUAGUCGGGCUCUGACUGAAUCUCAUGUUUCUAUGAUUGAAUAAGUAAUAAUUUGCCUAUGGCUAUAUUAUCAAACCUUCUAAAAAGACAGCACCAAUCAGAUGAUGCCAUAUAUCUAUUUGUUUAUAUCCCAACUUUGAUCAUAUUUAUUUAUACCCUUAUCUAAAGGUUUAAAUAUUAUCAUAUACAUUUUAUCACUUCAUAGAUGCCACCAUGGUACCUAACAUUGUCCUAAUAAUUUUUAUAAAAAAAUUAUAUACUUUCUAUUGGUUACGAUAUCAUUGAUUAUGUCUGAAAAACAAAUUUUAUGAUACAAUUCAUUGAUAAUGAAAAAUUAAAGUAUAAAUAUAAUAUAAAACUUGCAAUGUUAUGUAUAAGAAAAGAUAAUUUUUCAAAACUAUUUUUAAAACAAUUACCAAACAUACCCUAAAUUUUCCCAAUCCGUGAUUCAUAUGUCCCAAUCCUUAGUUCUAUUCUUGACUCAUGAACCCCUUAGCAUGAUCUCUUCAAUCAACUAUCAAAUGCUCAUGAAAAAAUACCAAAUCAAACAUAAUGAUAAUCAUAAGAAUUUGAUUGAUUAAUGACUACUAUCAGUUCAUAUUUAAUAUUGUGACCGAAAUACAAAUAGAAUGUCCUCUAACAAGAUUGUGUGGUGUUGAAUGCGAUGAUACAAUUUGCUUCACAGCCUCAAGUGAAUAUACUGUCCAUACCCCAAUUAUAUUCACAACAGGAAAUUUGAUAAAUUUUGCUUUGCAUUGAGCUUUAUAGGAAUCCAGAUGGAUGGGUCAUGCCUUUGCUAUAAGAAAUUGAAAAUGUGCAUUGUAGAGUGGGACUGACUACAAUCCUGAAGGUUGAGUGAAUAGAUAUGUAAGUAAUGGAGCAACCACUGCUACGCUUAAACUGUUCCCCAGCAAUGCGUAUCUGCAUACAAAAGCAACUCAAUUAUAUACAAAAUUUAUUCAUCACAAAUAUUUAUGAUUUACCAAACUUUGCUGUAAUCGACUAAUCCCACGGGGCCCUGAAGUUAAGGACUGGAUAAGCCUCCAGUGGCCCUAAGGGGACUCGAACUGGUGACUAUUGAGGAGCAAACCCAAAGCCAGACCAACUGAGCUACCCCUUAGGGUUAAACUUUGUUGUACUCUUACCAUGAGGCCAAUAGAUUUUUUUAUCCAGAUUGAAAAUGAAUUAAAGUGAGAAAAAGAUGCAACUGGGAACUAUGCAAACAGGUCAGAGAUUAAAAGAAACAGAUAACAACAUAUGAUGUGGUAAUUACUUAUUUCCACUAUAAAACACCCAACCCAUGAAAACAUAUAAAUUGCUCCAUGCUAAUAGGACUUUUUCAGAAGGAGCUGAAUGUUCAGUUUCAUCAAAGCAAGUGUUAUAUCUUUUAUAGAAACAGCAAUAUAUCUCAUUAUAUGUUGCACUUGAUGAGGCAUGCAAACAUAAUGGUGAAACAUGAUACUAUUAAGGAUUGGACUGUUAAAGAAGAAACUUCUAGGGAGCUCUCCUGAGGAGAGGCAACUGCUAAGAUGAUGAAAAUGUACAAAAUUUUAUGGUUUCGUCCUAUAAAGCGAAGCUAUAAUACUCGGUCUCUCCAAUUUUCUGGGUUUUAUCUACUAAAGGGAAGCUAUGAUACUCGGAUUCUCCAACUUCAGCCAGCGUAUUCAUAUCAACACAACACCUUAUGGGUGUGAGUAUAUAUAGCAUCAUUGUUUAAUACUCAUAUUUUGUUUUGGAUAUGGUUCUUUGAUUCUAAUUGAUUUCCUUUUACUACUACCACAUUCCUUAUCAGAUAGUUACAUUGAAGAAAGAGAGAGUUGCUGGAACAUGACCUUUUAGAGUAAUAUUAAAAUAUAAUAAAGAAAAGAAAAGAAAAGAAAUAGAUAAAAGAGAAGGAACAAAGCUUUUAUUCUUUGUUAUGAUCUAUCCUAGUGUCCAUAUUCAUUAUUGGGAACCUUUUUAGCUAAGUCUUAUUAUUAUAUCCUAAAAUUUUUACAUCUAAAAUAUCAUCCACCAAGAAACAUAACCUACCCACACCAGAACUCAAACCCAUGCAACAUUUAAGUCAAGGGUCAAGCCACUUGAUUGUAGGACUGGGAAACAGUUCUAUGGGAUUCCAAAAGUUGGUUUCCAUGUGAAAUACAUGCUUUAGAUCACUAAUCCUAUCAACAAUGUAAACAUUAUCUUAAGAUCAUAAAAAUUAUAUUUCAUUCCACAAUUUAACUGGAAAGUGAAAAAUAAACACAAAACUUAGAAUAUGUUAGGAAAAGAAAUGUCAAUUUAUCUAACAACUAAACGCAACAUGAGACUAGCAAGAGCUUAGGGUAAAUUAUAGUUUCUUAACCAGAUCUCCCAUCUGUUUUAUUAGUAAAUUGGUAAAAAUUUGUCAAAGUUCAUUGUUCCUACUUUCAUCCAAUCCUCACACAAAAUCAUAAUAACAAAAACAGAGGGAUAAAUGUAACAUACCGCUGUCUAAGGUUUACAUGCUGUGGAAAGUGAAAAUCCUCUGGGAAAGAAUGCAGAUUAGCAACCUAAAAGUUAUCAAAAUCAUAAAUUAGUUGAUAAGAGACAAAGACAAAAGAAGAAAGAGAUAUGAGCAAAAUUUACACACCUCUCUAGGGGUAAAAUAUCUAAGACACUGCUCCUCCAACAAGGAUGCUUUAUCCUUCUUUGACUGCAAGUCGCCCAUUUUAUAGAAGUCAUGAAAAAUGAAAAUGGUCAUAGCAAUAAUUUCUAUAGUGUGAACUAACCUUGAAUGCAAACUAAAUUUAACUCAGAUAUUGGGAGUGUUGCAGAGAACUACCAUGGGUUGCACAGAACACUGGGGGCCGAAUUAAUUGCGGGAUGUGAACUAAACAAUCAAAUAUUUUGAAACUAAAUCUGGAUAUUGAUCCAGUGAAAUGCCUGGUUGAAUUAGACCAGGGUUUUUGGUCGCAUCCAUCCAACAUAAAUAAAUAACUAUUGGGAACCAUUGGAUGCUAAAAAAAUUCUGCAAUCUUUCAACCGUUCCUAAAUUUUACAUCAUGUAUAAAAAUAAGAUCAUCACAUCUAAGGGCUAAUAAGUAUUUGAGCUCACCAAACAAAUGAACUGCCAUGGCAAACAAGCCCAUAAGUCCAUUUGAUCAAGUAUGAUGAACUCAAAACAUUGCGAUGAGCCAGGUUGCUGAAACCUUCAUGUAAUGGCCAAAGCAACCAGACCAGCUAAACAGACAAAAUUUUAUAACAGUAGUCCAAACUAACGGUUGCAAGAGUGCCUGAUAUAAUAUGAGAAACAAUCAAGACUAAGUUUUUAAAAUAAGAAUAUCUAUCACGAAUCAGCUCUAUGCUGUUUAAGAGACUGUCUUUACAGGACUCACUCAGAUAUUCAAGAAACAGUGAACAUAAUUGAAAUUCAUACCUGGCCAGUUGCCAAAAGAGAGCCAGUACCCUUCACAUACCGAUAAUAACUUUUUGUAAAACAGCAGCAACGCUUUGAGUCAGGAUAGACAAUAUCUAUGAUCUUUUUAAGGAUUCAUUAAAAGAGAGAGAGGGGUUUAUUCAAUAAAAAGUACAACAUGACUAAUUACAAAUGGUACAGGUAAUCAACGGGAAUAAGCAAGGAUACCCAUAGCACUUCCCCACCUCUCUAUCAAGCUCAAUGGAACAGAAAACUGGUCCCAAGAAUUACUGUCAGAUCUGUCUCUUUCAUUGUUCUCCAACUCUCCAGAAGCAUCUGUAGAAACACUAAGGGUGUCCAAGUAGCUGGACUCUGUUUCUAAUGGGUUGAUAGUAUUCUUGAAUUCAAGAAAUCUCUCCACUGGCUCACAUGAUUGGAGCAACUUAUCCCAGAUCUUCUCUGAUUGAUCAUGUUCAUCAAUCAGUGAGUCAUCCUCAUGACCAAAUAAUGGGCUUGGAGUUGAAAGUAGUUGGUUAUUGAAGAGUUGGUUUUCAAAUGAUAAAGGUUUCCUUUUUGCCUGUAGCAAUAAGUAGAUUACAUUUAUCAAUUAAAAAUCUGGACAAGUGUGUGUAUAGGACUUCUUAAAAUCAUGAUAAUUUUCCACCCUUGUAUCCAACAAAUGACCAUAAAUUGGUUAGGCUUUUAGUUUGAAUUGCAUGAACUUCCACAAACCACCUUGAAUGAGACCUGAUUUUUUAUAACAACCCUAAUUUUUAAAGGGAAAUAUUUAUCCAAUUCAUAACCCAUCCUAAGUUCCAUCACCUUGUUUAUUCUUAUAUGGAAAAGAUAAGAAUAAUGACAAUAAUAAUAGUUAUAAGUGAGACAGCAUUUACCAGGCAAAAGUAUCGUGGCCUGGAAUAUGGCACGCCAAAUUGUAUUGGGCUCAAAAUAAAUUCCUGGGUAACAAAACCAGUUUUUGAUAAUAUCUCAAUCAUUUUCUCAUGUGUAUCAGAUGUCUGCAACAAAAAAGACAGUACAAAAGAUAAGCAAAGAAUACUUGAUUGAAAAUAAAAAAUUUAUAUGCCAAGUUCACAGACCUCGAAUCCAACAACAUUCUCAACAAAAAGCAUAAGUGGAGGAUGUAAGGUGUGCUGUAUAAGUUCAAGAAUCUUGAGAAAAGAAAAUGCCCGGGCAUCGCCAGAGUGCUUUUGGAGACCUAAUCACAAAAUAUUUUGAGAAAACAUCAAUCCAAAGAUAAUUCAAAAAACAAGAAAAGGAAAGCAACAAUAGUUCACCUUGUCGGGUGUAUGGCUGGCAAGGAGGAGAAAGAAGCCAUGCAUGAGCUCUAUAUCUAUCAAGAUCAGCAGCAGUAAGGCUCUGGAUGUUACCCUAGGACCCAAAAAAAAAAGUCCAUUUUAAGCAUCUUAUAAGCCAAAUGUCAAAUUUUUGAAAUGGGUACCUCUGAUUUUCUUAUUUUUGAGCAGCUCAAAAGCCAAAUACCAAAAAUUUGAAAAAUGGGCAAUUAGGAUUUUCCAUUUUCAUGAACAGCCCAAAAGCAAAAAAUAAAUUAUAAAUAAAUAAAUAAAUAAAUAAUAAUAAUAAUAAUAAGCUGCCUACUUUCGGGUGGAAAGCAGUAUUCCUCCAUUUAAUUGCUACUGAGAAACAUAAGGAAAAAGAAGGAAAAAAAGGUUUAUAUUUAUGUUGGUUUGAUUCUAAGCACAAUUAAAAUUUAAACCAAAGAGUAGGAAGUAGAGUGAGGUGAAUGCCAAAUUCUGAAAAAUCUAAAGAAAAAGGGUUUUUCUGCAUAUUGCGAAUAGGAGUUGAAGUGGAAAGAGAAGAAAACCUGGCAAGGGCGGUGACCGAAAUUGUGUUGAUAAACAUCGUUGGCAAUGUUGUUGAUGUCGAAUGCUUCGACAAUUUUCGCAUUCACACCUCCCCUCUUUAAAGAGUAUCUCUAUCGAAACAUACACGCAGAGAUACACUGAAAUUAUAACGAACACAUAUAUGCAUCUACACAUAUGGAGAGAGAGAGAGAGAGAGAGAGAGAACCAUUCCGCCGAUGCCACUGUAGAAUUCGAGGACUCGCCAUGGAUCCUCACCUUGGGGAUUGCACAAACCCUUCUCCAUUGAUGGGUGCUUCCCCUGUGAGAGAGAGCGGCGCCAACUCAGUGCCUUCACGAAAGUUGCAUAUCAUACGACGUCAAUUGUCGUCUCUAGGGAUGAACUUGGGAAAAUCAAAGCAAGAUAUGGUUUUAUACUACAAUCAAAUUAAAUUAUGUAAUUUACUUUUUAUUAAUAAAAAUUAUUAUAGAUGUAAAGAAUUAUUAAAAUAGUUCUCAAGACCAUUUCUUUUUCAUGUAAGUUUUUAAGAGUUUUUACAUUUUAUAUUAUUUUUAUAAUUUUAAAAAUAAAAAAUAAAAAAUAUAUUCAAACGGACACUUGAUUAUUUGCACCUUCAUGCAAUAUUUCCAAUUUUUACCAGCAAUUAGGCUAAGAAAAAUAUUGGUUAAUGUGAAAUUGUUGUUUAAUUUGACAUGCAUUUUGUUCAUUUCUUGUAAGUUGUAUUUAAUUUAGGGAUUUUUGUCUCGAACUUAAUAAAGAGCUGCACUUUAGUACUCUAGCAUCAUUUAUUAACAGACUUACUUUUUUUACACUUCGAUUCAAAUUUGGUAGAAAAAACUUUAAAUUAACGUUGUUGAAGUGAAUUUUCUAAAAAAGAUGUUCGCAUAAUUAUUCAUAAUUUUUUCCUUCCACUAGAAAAUGUGGCAACUUAAUUUAAACUAUUGACAUAUUUCUUUACAUUCUAAAUAUAUUGUAUUAUUCUUUAGUAAGACGAUAUGUUAUGUUAUAUUUAAUUUGUGAAAGGAUAAAAUAAAAAAUAAUAUAGAAUGUAUAUUUUUUUAAUAUUUAAAAUAAAAUUUAUAUUAUAUUCCAAUAUUUUUUAUUUAAAAAAUAAAAAAUUUCUUAUAUUUAAUUAUAUUCAUGAUUAAAAAAUAUUUAAGUUUUAUAAAUAAAUUUUUUUAUAUUAUGUUAUUCAAUAUAUAAAAAUAAUUUAUAUAUCAUACAUUAAUAUUAUUUUAUAAAUACUUUUUUAACCAUAAAUUUAAUUUAUAAUGAAAAUUUUUAUUUUAUAAAAUGAUUACAUAAAAAAAUUGAUAAAAAAAAAAUUAUGAUACAUGAAAUGAAAUAUGCAUAUUUCAUAUAUACAAAGGAUAAAAAAAAGAUGUAUUUCAUCAUUCAUUAAAUAUGGGAUAUUAUAUAGUAUUUCAUCUUUUAUCCUAUCACAUUUUUCCCUUGAUGGCAAAUCAUCCUUUGUAGUUAAGGCACUUUUGAGUUGUGCUUUAAGAAUUUUAAUAUACGAUUACAUCAUAUGGCAAGUUAACAGGAUAUCUUUGUCCAUCCAUAUGUCAUGGACUUUUAGUCCAAUUAUGCAUUUUUAUUGCCUUUGUACCCUAUUAUAUGCUUUUGAAAUCCCUAAAGCACAAAUAUCCCACUAUCGGGGAAUGGCUCCCUUUCCUCUAAUUCUUAAUGAAUGAAAUAAUUAAGCAUGCCAUAGAAUUUACCCUAAUAAGAUCCCAUUGAUUGUAACAGGGGACAAAGAUAUUCCUUAACUUAAGGUUUUUAGACUUUUUGUCUUAUAAUUUAAAAGAAAUUUGAUGUAUUCUAAUAUUGAUUCCUUUGGGUAGGUUUAUAGGUUACAAGGGGAUAUAGAAUGUGGUUAAUACGAUUAAUCAUGUUUCCAAAACUUGGGUUUAGAUUACGGAGACAUGAGGGAAAAAAAAAAGAGGAAAAAGUGGAGAUAGGGUUAAGUAGGUUCGGAAGAAGGAAAGAAGGAACAUAGCUGAGAUUUUACCAAGAGUCUAACUGAAUCACAAUGUUUUGUUCGAUUGUUCUAGUCCCGCAUCCCAUUCAUUUGUAUUUUGAUUUCAUUUUUUUAUACUUUGAUCUCAUUUGUUUGUACCUGAUUCCAUAUAUUUGUGUUAUCUAUCCGAAUGAGAUUGCAAACUAAUCAAUAUCCUCAAAUUUUCUUGUAGCAAUGAGAUAGGUCAAACACUUAGGAAGAAUUAAUUUCAGUUUAAUUAAUAAAAAGGGAAACAAGAAAAAUAAAAUAAUUGUUCUUUUGUGAUUGUACACCUUUCUUUAAUGUCUUUCCAAAUAAUACAUCAACGAGUCCACUGAGGCUUAUGCCUCAAGCCUCCAGGCAUGACAAGCGUACUUGAGCCGUGCCUUUGCCAAACCUUGACCCGUAAGUCUAAUGCAUUUUUUCCUUGCGCCUCAUCGCAUUUUCGAGGCGCUUUGCCAUGAAGCACGCCUCAACAUGCACCUGAAAACAUAUCAUAGAAUGAGAAAAGGAAAAAAAAUAAAUUAAAAUAUGAUAAUUAUUUAGAUGGAAAGGAAAAUAUUCCACUGCAAAAAACUUAAUUAUAUAUACAAAAGAGAAUAUACAUACAUAUACAUGAUGGGUAUCAAAAGGGCACUAGUGGUAGGUUUGGCUCGAUGGAAAAAACAUGGAAACAAAGGAAAACAGAAGUUGAAACGAAGACAAAAACAGAGGGAGAAACUAGAGAGAGAUGAGCAAAGGGAAAAAUGAAAGAAGUACUUUAACACUACGUCCACCGUGAAAUAGAGAGGAGGCAACCUCGACAAGAGAGAAAACAUAGAGACACAUUGCCGAUGAGAGUUGUCAAGAUUAGGGUUUUUUUCUCUUUUCUUGUCCUAUUUGUAUUUGAUAUUUGUUUUGAUUUUUGUUUUUUUUGAUACAUCAAUGACUCCAUUGAGGCUUACGCCUUAACCCUCAAGGCAUGAAAAGAGCACUUGAGGCAUGCCUUAGUCACGCCUUAACCUUUAAGGCAUAUGCCUUCUAGGGUUGAUCUUUUCUUCCUUGCACAUCACCUCAUUUUUGCAGGGAGACCCUUCAACGUUGUCUUUCCACCACCAUUAAUUGCAAGGAUUGAAUUGCUCUUAUAAAUGGUUUAAGACGUGCAAGCAAGCAAGCAAGCUUGACCAAAACUCCCACUUAUGAACCUGAAUAGAUUGUUUAUGCCAUGAGACUUGCAAUUCUAUUUCAGCUUACCACCAAGAAGUGUGAUUAAAAAUACAAAAUAGCAGAGAAGAGACAAACAUAGAUUAAUUAUCAUAAAGAAACUCCACAACCUUACUUGAAAAACAAAAGGAAUAGACAAAAAUCUUUCACCUUACAGCUAAAUAAAUAAUGUUCAUUAGGUUUCUUCAUCAUCAUUGCAACCUAUGUUUGGAAAUUCACAUUCAACAAAAGAGGUCAUACUCUGGCCUCGGAUAUCGUCUGAUAGUUUCUGCCCUUUUCAAUACCAAAACAACUCUAUUUUUGAAGCAACCAUCAUGGCAAAAAUGUAAACAUUUUCUAGUUAUGUACUAUUUUAUGGCAGAAAUAUACAAAGCUAAACCCAAUUGUGCUUCCAGAGAACAUUCAAUUGGUAAGCACAAGCUUUCCACAUGAAGCAAUAUCCUUGCCAACAGGGGACACAAAAAGGAACUUCAUACAGGCAGCAAAUAUAACCUCCAAGAUUUUCAAAAGAGCAUAUCAAUUUCUUCCGCAUUCUACUGAGAUGUGUCCCAUCAGAGAGUCAACCAUUCACAAUAUUUCAGGUCAAACCCAUGAAACAAACAAUACAUUAUUCCUUAACAAGAAUCCGUGCGGCCAUAUUAAAACCAAAAACCAUGUGUAUCAUGAUGCACUGGGAAAAAUAUUAGAAAAAUAAUAGGGAUAAUAAAUACCUGUAAUUGAAUUUCAUUCACCAAUAAUCCCGGCAAGAACACAAUCCAUCUUUGAAGUGGUGGAAUCUCUUAGCAUCUCGUAUGAUGAGCUCCCUGCCAACAAGCUUUGAAAUGAUCUUCAGGGCAGUGUGACAGUCACCACAAACACGAAGAUUCUUGAUUACCCUAAUAGGUGAACGCGCUGGGCUGCUGAGAAGGCCGUAAGCAACAGCAAGUCUCUCACUAUGAGCAAGAAGAGCUUCCUCCUUGCCUUCUUGGUCUAUGUCAUGCAACACAAAUCUGGUCUCUGGCACAUAACCAGCCUCUUUCAUUUGUGCCUUCAAUCCCCUUAGUUUUGCGUAGAUCUUGUCAUUCUCAGGAUGAGAUGUAUCCCCCGCUCGAUAUUCAUGGACCCUGCUCCUAACCUCUAAAAGAUUUUGACUGGCCAAUUUCUUCUUCUCUUUCUCUUUCUCAAGGUCAGAAGCUUUCACUGGUACAAGGCCUGCUUUUGAUUGCUCAGUUAAGCGGGAGGGCUCCAGAUGCUCAACAAGCUCAGCACAGCGAUCCCCAAUUUCCAUAUUCCCUUGAACUCUACAUAUAUUCAUCAAGGUUUCCCAGACAUCGACACUUGGCUCUAGCGGCAUCUUCUCAACGAACUCUAGUGCUUCAUCCAAGUACCCUGAAUUACCCAGCAUGUCCACCAUACUCGCAUAAUGCUUCAUUGAUGGAACAAUGCCAUAAUCCUUGCUCAUUGAAUUAAAGUGCAACAUCCCCUCAAUGACAUCGCCUAAGACACUGCAGGCCAUGAAGACCCCAAUAAACAUUUGACCAUCGGGUUUCAGUCCUGAUUCCUUGAAUUGAAUGAACAGAUCAAUUGCCUCCUCUCCAAGAUCAUUCUUAGCAAACCAUGUUAUCAUGGUGUCCCAGGAUGUCAAAUUGCGCUCUGGCAUUUUCUUAAACACUGCAUAUGCAUCAUCCAUGGAACCACAUUUUGAAUACAUCUCUAGGAUCCUGUUAUAAGUACUCACUUUGAGAGGGGAUACUGAUUUGAUAAGGCUCUCGUGAACAGCUUUUGCUUCUUGUAGUGCUUUAGCCUCCCCACAUGCCUUCAUUAACCGCAGGUACCUGGGCAAAUCCACAGGAGUGUGCUGCUUCUCCAACAAUCCCAAAACUUCUAUAGCUUCCUUUACUUUUCCAUCCUUGCAGAAAUCAUCCACCUCCUCAAGAGUGCCACUAUAUUGGCUACUCUCUGCAGCUUCUAAAGACUCUCCAUCUGGUUUGUAAUUACUUGAUUUUGGAGAACCCACCAUGCUAUUCUGAAACUCAUUAGAGUUUGUUUGAUAUUGAGCAACAUUUGGGUUCUGCUGAUAUUGAGCAACAUUUGGGUUCUGCUGAUAUUGAGCAACAUUUGGGUUCUGCUGAUAUUGACCAAUAUUUGGGUUCUGCUGAUAUUGACCAACAUUUGGGUUCUGUUGAUAUUGACCAACAUUUUCUCUAUAGUACAUAUUCUCACUUGGCUGAUACUGCUGUAGAUUUUCUCUAUGAUAUCCACUUGGGCUCUGCUGAAAUUGCCUGAUAUUUUCUCCAUAAGUCCUAUUUAGGUCUCCCAGAGUCUCCGAUAUGAUCUGUUGACAAUUCCCAUUCCGAUUCUGAUUCACUUCUGCUCGUCCCUCACUGUAAUAUGAGUUCUGUACAUUUCUGUUUUGUCCAUAAAAGUCAUUCGACUUUUGCAAUGAUUCUCCAUAAUUUUGCCCACAAUACCCAUUAAUAUUUCCACUUUGCCCAACUAGGUUCUGCUGAUAUUCAUUUAUAGUGCUUUCCCUACAAAGCUCGUUCUGAUUUGCCGGCAAGCCUCCAGAACCUUGCCUAUAAUUCCUACUAAAAUUUCCACUCUGGCUAAAUGGGUUCUGCUUAAACUCGUUUCUAGCAUAUUCCCUGUAACCUCUAGGAUUUAAGUCUUGAUGAACUUCGGAAGAGUUCAUGGAGUUUCCUCCAUAAAGCCCAUCUGGAUUUUGCUGCAAAUCCCGGAAAUUUUGUCCAUUAUACCCAUUAAAAUUCACAUUUUGCCCAAUAGGGUUCCUGUGAAAUUCAUUUCUAAGGUUUUCCUCAAAACCCCCAUUAGGGUUUAUGCUUUGUUGAGCCUCCACAGAGUUGCCUCCAUAAAACCCUUGUGGGCUUCCGGAAAAAUACCCACCCGGGCUUUGCCCAUUUGGUUUUUGCUGAAACUCUAUAUGAUUCUGAUUGUCUGCGUCAAACCCAUCAGGGUUUUGGUGAUUCUCUGGAGAAUUUUCUUUUUGAAACCCGUUAGAAAUUUGAAAAUCGGCUCUUUCAGCGGCAGUACUAAGAUUCUUCAAUAAAGUUAGGGUUUUAGAUGAAGCCGAGGAGGAGUUGGGAGAAGGACAUACCUUGGAUAAAGCAGUGAGAGAGUUGAUUGUAAGAAGCGUAGCUCUCUUUGCGGACAUUGUUUACCUGUCGUGGUGAGAUAAUUCGAGAGGAGAGAGGUUCAAGACAAUGGAGAGACAGCGGAGGAGGAAAGAAACCAGAGAAGUUAAACCCGUUGGCUUACAAACCUUAAACCCUCGCAACCAUUGGCCGCCAAUGAACAGUCUUGGGCCUAAAAUUGGCUUUUGAAUUGGGCCCACUGUUAGUUGACAUCAGGUUCCCAUAACUCUUUGCCUUUGACACCUCUUUUCUCAAAAUGCUAGAUGUGAUCCACGUGCAAGCCAUAUGAGCUAUUAGUUAAUAAAUUAAUAUUAUCUAAAUUUUAUUUUAAUUAGUUGGUAAAUUUUAUAGAAAUGUAAUUUUUAAAAAUUAUUAUAAAAACAAUAUAAAUAUUAUUAGUUAAAGAGAUUAUGAAGCUCCACCUAUUCCAUAAUCGAAUGUUUUAAUAACAUAUAUCAUAUAUUAUUAUCAUAUGACCGUAGGUUCAUGGUGAGACCUAAUGUUGACAUCUUUUUGUAUUUUGAAAGGGCUUUAAUGGUAAUAUAAUUGAUUCAAGGGUGAUAAUAUAAUCUGAUCUUUAUCCAAUGAUUAUAAGGGGCUUCUGACAACUAUUUUUAUGAUACAAGAGUAAUAUUUGAUCAAAAAUCAAUUUAGAUGCAAUUUAAUGGCUAUUAGCGGUUCCUAAAAAUUAUACGACCUCCAAUUUAGAACAAAAAUUUCCUAUAAAUACCUCAUUCUCAAUUCAAUUAAAAUCUUUUUUAAUCUUAUAGUGAUCCUUAAAACAUUAAGACAAAACAGGAGAGAGGCUGAAGUACGUAAUUCUAAGCUGCCUUAAUGUCAAAGAUAGGAAGCUAAAAGAGAGAAGUCUAAGGUAGAUCAUCUUAGGCGGACCACCAAGUGCAAUAGUUUAGUAGUUUCAAUGGGAAGCAAACCGAACAAGAGAAAGAAUUUCGAUCUUCGAUGCAUUGCUACCUUUUAUUUUUUAGGAUUAAUUAAUUAAAAGGGACGAAGAGAUCCCAAAUUUGUAAAAUUAAUCUCUCUCAUUUUUUAACUUGAAAAGUAACUCAUUUUUAAUAUAAAUAUUUUAAAUCUUUUCAUUAUUUACACGUGUGUUUUAAAAAAAUGAUUAUUUUUACAAAAAAGAAAAAAAGAUGAAGACAUUUUUAUCAAAAAUUGGUAUUUUUUAGGUUGAAAAACAAGUAAAAUGUUAGUUUUGUAAAGAAGGGAUGAUUUCGGUUUUCCCAGCUUUUUAUCUCUCAACUUUUAUAAUUUUGGGAUUUUGAUUGAAAUUGUAAAUCAAGACUCAACAAUUGCUUAAGAUAUUUUAUUAAAUUACUAACAUUAUAAAUGAUAAUUGCAACUCAAUUUAAAUUAUUUAAUUAAUAUAAUUUGGAUAUUUUUAAAUAAUUUAAAUUAUUGGAUUAAUUUUAAUAUUAGUUUCAAACCUCGAGGUGAAUGAAAUUAACCAAAAAAAAAAACUUUAAUAUGUGUGCUAUUGUUUCUUUUAUUAUUUUUAAAAUUUGUUGCAACAUUUUUAUUAGUUUUAGUCAAUUCUAAUCUAACGGAUAUUUUUUAUCUAAAUCUUUUCUUAAUAUUUCCAUGAAAACUAAUAUUUUUAUCAUUAGUUUUUAAAAUGUAUCAUACAUUCCAUAGAUCACGAAUCAAUUAUAAUUUUUAUAACAUUAAAUAUAGUAAAUUUUAUUAAAUAUCAUAUAUUUAGUUUACACGUAAACAUAUCUAGUGAUGAUACAAUAUAAAGAUGGAAAUAAUAUAUUUGAAAAAAAAAAUUGUUGAAUAAUCAGAUAAAAUAUAACAAAAUUUUAAUUUGAGAAGUGUAAAAAAAUAAUAAAUUUAAAUUAAAAGAAUUAGAAUGUGAAAAUUCUUGUGGUAAUGACUUUUGGAAUUCCUUUUAUAUGAAAAUUGUUUACUGUAAGUCUGUAAAAUAGUAUAAUUUAUUUACAAUAAGGAACACUAAUGUUAAACAUUUCAAAAUUUUGUUUUAUAGGUAACCAUAAAAAUAAAAUAAAAUAAUAAUGUAAUGUUUGUGGGUUGGCCCAACUCAACUCAAAUCGAGUUGGGUUCAAAUGGAGAAUUCACCACACCAAAUCUCAACUAGAAGACUAUCUAAACAUAAAAAUAAAAAUUUAUAUUAUAAUAAUAAUAAUAAUAAUAAUAAUAAUAAUAAUAAUAUAUUUAAAAUCGGGAACAAUUGUAUUAAAGGGGUAGUAGGAUGUAAUGCCUCUAAAAAAAUAUGAAAUAUGAGAGAUAAAAAUAUUUUUAUUAAUAGCUACAUGGCUCUUAUAGAAUUGUUCAAAUGUUUCAAUACACCUAGUUGUCUCCGAUCUUUGUUUGGUCUUUAAAUUUAGACUAUAUUGUCAAUUAUCCAACUGAGACAUCCAUGUGAGUAGAGGAAAAACUUUUUCUUAUUUGUUUCGUUUGGCUUUUGAAAAACAAAACAAUAGAUUUUUCAUAUCAUAAUCCAUGACCUUAGAUUUUUCUCCUAACUGUAUAAUCAUCCACCAUAUGAUAUCUAUUACUGUUAGAUCUCGCCUUAUUUAUCAACUUAAGAGUGUUUUCAUUUCGUCUUAUUUGUCAACUUAGAAGUUUUCUUUUCAACCAUUUUUUAGAAACACUUGUACCAACUUUUCAAUCUCUUCUUUGCUUUGUUUGGUUGUUGAAAAAAAUAAAUGAGAACGAAAUUUGAGUUUUGUGGUUGUUGUUUGCUUUGAUGUUCGAAAUCUUAAAACUUGAGCCAAAUUAUUGUUCUUUACUCAGUUUGAUAAUUUAGAAAACAAGAAGAAGAUUGAGAAUGAAAUUUAAGUUUUGUGGUUGUUGCUUUGGUGUUCAAAGUCUAAAAAUGUAAACUAAAUAAUUAUGUCAAUGUAGAUUUUUACUGAAUGAAUUAUGAUUAAAUAAUAGUUAAGGCUAAUGAACUAAAUAUAUAAGAGGUGUAUAAGACAAUUCAUUUGAAACGUAAAAAUAUAAAAAUUUAUAUUAUUAAUAAUUUUUAAAAACUUUAUUUUUUAAUUUUUUUUUAAAGAAAAGUCUAUUUAGAAACUUAAAAUAUUUUUAAUCUAUUUUAAAUAUGUUUAUAAAAUAUUUUUUAUUUGUAUUUUUUUAUAUUUAUAUAAUUAUUUUUAAAAUAAUUAUAAGAAAAUAAGUAAAAACAAUUAAAAAAUAUGGACUAGUUUAAUAAUUAUUUUUGAAAAUUGUUCUUUAAAUUUUAUAGAACAAAACUUUGUUUAAAAACCUAAAAUGUUUUUAAUAUUUUUAAAUAUAUUUUAAAAAUAAUUUUUAAAAAUAAUGUUUUACUUUUAAUUAUUCGACAUGUUUAUAUAAUUAUUUCUUAAAAUAGUAUUUACAAAACAAAUGAAAAUAAUAAAAAGAUAACUAAAAGAUCUUCUUUAAAAAUUUUCUAUUUUUUAUUUUUAGGAAUAAAAAAUAAAAAAUAGUAUUUAUUAGCCAAAUAUGUUUUCUGUGGUUUUUUUUUUUUUUUUAAAAAUUGUUAUAAAAAACAAUUCCCAAAUAUAAUAUAUUACUCGGAAACACUUUGUUUUUUGUUUUUAAAAUUAAAAACUCAUUUUUCGUUUGAAAUUCCUUUUAUUUUGUUUUGAAUCACAAAGGUUUUAAAAAAUAGUUGGCAAAAAUGGCUUUGGUUUAUGGGUCCAAUCACUAUCUUGUCCUAACAAUCUCCUUUUUGUACCAACUUUAGACAGACCACUUUAUCCCAUUACUUGGGUGCUUUUCAUUUUUGCCCAGGUUUGUUAUCUAGUCUUUGUAUUUGUUGGUUCGUGAUCACAGCAUUGAGCCAUUGAAUUUAAUUUUGCUUUUCUGUGUACUAAAGAUUCUUGGCUAAUUAGCAGACAAAACAUCAACUGCAAAUUCACUGGCCAUAAAAAACAAACAGUUGCCAGACUACCACCAAUAAUCAAAGAUCCUCUGGUUUGCGGCCAUGAUGGCUACCAGCCUCCUACAAUCACUAAAAUGCUCAUCAACUUUCUGGGGUUCUAUAGAAUGUGGCACCGGAUGAUUAGAAGACAGCUUUGUAAACAGAAGGAUGCAAGAGUCGGUAUUGCAGCUGCCAAACUGGCUAUGCCAUGAAGGAUCCUCGGGAUUACCGUCGGGGUGGUUGAGAUGCCCGCCAAAAUACCAAAAAAAUGGAUUAGAAGUGACAGAAGAGAAAUAUAAAGAAUGUUCAUACAGCAAAUUCAAUCCAUACUAUGACAUAUUUGAUACUAUCCUAGUGACAGCUUAUCGUGAGUAUCAAUCCAUGGGCGUACUAUAUAUUCAUAAGCCCAGCAGCUUGAUAUAAAUCUGCUAUUAGACCUGCAAUACACAGCGGUCUUCUUCCUCUUACUUCGUGGGAUUUUGCACUGCUCUCGAUACGAGCAUGGCUGAUACUUCUUUUCCUCCCAACUUACUGCCCGACGAGGCGAGCCCUGAAUGGAUGAACAAAGGCGACAAUGCCUGGCAACUCACUGCCGCCACUCUCGUCGGUCUCCAGACUGUUCCGGGGCUGAUCAUCCUUUAUGGAGGUGCAGUGAAGAAGAAAUGGGCUGUGAAUUCAGCUUUCAUGGCGUUCUACGCCUUCGCCUGUGUCCUUAUCUGCUGGGUGGGGUGGGGAUAUAGAAUGUCGUUUGGGACGAAGCUUGUUCCAUUUUGGGGGAGGGCUAAUGUUGCCUUGGACCAAGUUUAUCUCCUGGACCCGGCCUUUAUUGGGAAGUUCCCACAGGCGACGAUGGUGUUUUUUCAAUUCGUUUUUGCAGCGAUCACUGUGGUUUUGAUUGCGGGAGCCUUGUUGGGGCGGAUGAAUUUUUACGCGUGGAUGUUGUUUGUGCCCUUGUGGCUGACGUUUUCGUACACCUUUGUAGCAUUUAGUAUAUGGUGUCCAUCAGGUUUUCUCGCUAAGGCUGGGAUUAUAGACUACUCUGGUGGAUAUGUGAUCCAUUUGUCUUCUGGGGUUGCUGGCUUCACUGCAGCAUAUUGGGUAUGGAGGAACCCUAAUUAACCAACCAUAUAUCCUUCUGUUUUUCUUUUUACUCUAUCUGAAAUGAUUUGUGUGAUGUCCUAUACUUGCAGGUUGGUCCUCGGCUAACCAAGGACAGAGAAAGGUUCCCUCCUAACAACAUCCUUCUUAUGAUGGCUGGGGCAGGAUUGCUGUGGAUGGGUUGGACAGGGUUCAAUGGUGGGGAUCCUUAUGUAGUGAGUGUCGAUGCUUCGUUGGCCGUUUUGAACACGCAUGUGUGCACUGCCACUAGCCUGCUCACAUGGCUAAUCCUCGACAUUGCGGUCUUUGGAAAAGCUUCUAUAAUUGGUGCAGUGCAAGGCAUGAUCACUGGCUUGGUUUGCAUCACACCUGCAGCUGGUAUUCCACUGACCUAGGCCUUAAUCUUUUGUUGCAAAUAUGUUCCAUGAUAAACUUCAUUUACCUAGACCCGUGACCAUGUUUGGAUGACAUGAAAAUGAAGACAUUUUUGUAAAAACUUACUCUCAAUGUGUAGAUAUUGUCUGUUUUGGGUCCAAUAUGUCUACAUGUUAAGAGGAGUCCAUAUAUACAUAGUGUUAGAAAUUUUUUAUCUCUAUUCGAUGUGAGAUAUCACAAUCAAUCCUAUGCAGUCACAAUAUCUUUGUUAUAUUUCAUAGGAUUGUGGGAUAAAAAAGACGAACAUCCAACUCAAGCUAAACAAACUCUUAUAUGGAUUGAAGAUCGGUUCUGAUACUAUUUAUAAUAACCCGCUCCCAAUUGUGUAGAUAUUGUCCGUAUGACCUUAAAAUGUAUUAACAAGAUCAAAAAGAACUUACACAUAUAUAGCAACAUAAAACAUUAGACUAGGGAAAAAUUUUCUUAUGUUAUAUGUGUAUGCGCUCCUCCUAGUCUUGUUGGCACAUUAUAAAGUCACGUGAGCUUAUUGGACUCAAAGGCAGAGAAUAUCUACAUGGGAGAGAGAGUUAGUCAUUACAAUUUUACAUUUUAUAGGAAAUUUAGCUCCAUAUGUUGUGCUUAAAAUGUGAAAAUUAAAGCAUACUUACAAGAAGUUAUUUAUCUUUGAUUUAGGGGUUGUACAAGGAUGGGCAGCCAUAAUCAUGGGGAUUUUCUCAGGCUCCAUUCCCUGGUUCACCAUGAUGGUUGUCCACAAAAAAUCUGAGCUCCUUCAGAAAGUGGACGACACAAUGGCUGUUCUGCAUACUCACGCCAUUGCUGGAAGCCUCGGAGGAAUCCUGACCGGUCUAUUUGCUUCCCCAAAGCUUAACCGUUUGUUCUAUGGCUACGGAGUUGAUGUAGAUUCCACUUAUGUUGGCCUAUUUUAUGGUCUUCACAUGGGAGAAGUCAGUAAGGGAUUCAGGCAAAUUGGAAUUCAGCUUCUGGGGAUUGUGUUUGUGCUUGUGUUUAACGUCAUAGCCACAAGCCUAAUAUGUCUUGUGGUGCAACUCAUCGUGCCCCUGAGAAUGUCUGAUGAAGAUAUGGAGAUUGGGGAUGAAGCAGCUCAUGGGGAGGAGGCCUAUGCUAUCUGGGGUCAAGGUGACAAGCUUGAGAACUCAAGGUAUGGGAGUUCAGUCUACGGUGAUGUUGAAUUGCCUAUGCCCAAGCCCAGGGGAGCUGGCCAAGUUGAGAUGACAUGAGACAUGAGAAUGUGUUCCAGGUUUUCGGAAAUUGGCAGACUUGAUCGAUUCAAUAAGAGCCCUUAAAGUAACUUCUGUAUCUGUGAUGUUGCCAAAUCAAUUGAUUGAACUCUGUUUACUUCUUUCUGUUUGUGCUAAGAACUUGCAUGAAUCCUAUUUAUAUGUUCUUUCUUUGUAGCCUUGUUCUUGAAUGAAGUUCCAAUCUCAUUUGCCUUUUAUUUUGUCAACUAAUAAGAAUCUUGAAUAGGGAAGGUCUGAAUUGGUGUAAGUACCAAAAAGGGUGGAAGUUUUGGUAUUCCCUGCCCGCCAAAUGGAAGUUAAGCUUUGGGGCAAUCUGAAGGAAGGUAGCAAUCUUUUCAGGGUUGGGGAAGGUUGGCUACCAAGUACCAAGCAUGGGAUAAUGUCCCAACUAAGGGCCAUCAAGGCCAGAGUCUUGGUGGCUGGUGACCAAAAAUGAAGCAAGGGUCCUUGCAAAAAGGCGCCUACCUAAUGGAUAGUGUGGAGUUAGGAGUCUUAGGACUAACCCAAGAAUAGUCUUAGGACAUGCUCUUUUCUUCCUUGUCUUUAACUUCAAUGAAAAAUUAAAAUCAUUGUCACAAUUUUUAAAGGAGGUUAUUAAUAUUCUAGAAGUUUUAUUAAAUAUAUAAAAGAACUUAGGUUGGGUUUAACAAUAUUAUUAUUUGAAGUGCUAUUUAAAGAAUCACUAUAAUUUUUUUUAAGAAACAUUAUAAACGAUUUUUCAAAAAUUUUCAAGAGUAUUUUUUUAAUUUUUUCAAAUACUUAAGGUUUUUUAAAAGCGUUUUUUUUUUGUUACUUUUUUUUUUUUUAACAUAUAAAAUAUUUGAAUAAAAUUAACCAAAUAAGUAUAAAAGCUCUCAUCCAGCGAAAAAAAUAGCUUUUGACUUCUUAUAAGAAGAAAUUUUUUUAUUUUUUAUAAAAAACUAUUUCAUAUUGUAUAAUUAAUAUUAUUAUUAUUUAUUUCAAUUUCAAUUAAAGCUAAAAAUAAAAAAAAAUCAAAGAUAAUUCAAGAAUCAAUACCAUAUUAGAUUAUAAAAAUAAUCUUGAUGUUUUUUUUUCUAUCAUUUUUCCAUGUAGCAGUUGAUCCAAGCAUAAAUCAGAACAUGGAUUAUUUAAUUAAUUAAUUUAUUUUAGAUAUUUUAUUUAAAAAAAUAUGUAUUUUUAUAUCUCAUAUAAAAAUAAUUACUAAAUUGAAUCUUUUAAAAAUAAUUUAAGUUUUAUAUAUUUAUUAAUCAACGAUAAUAUCUAAAAUAAUUAAAAGUAAUACUUAUAUAAUUAAAAUAUAGUAUUUAAAUGGUCACAAAUAAUAUGAAAUAUUAAUUAUUUUUGGAUAAUAAUUUAAAAACUAUAUUUUAUAAAUUCGGUUCUAUUUUGUGAUUUGUUUUUAGGUAUGGGGUGGAAAAAAACACUUUGCCCUUUUAUUUUUCUUCCAAAUAUAGAUUAGGGUAUCAAACGUAAUAACUAAUAACACCACAUCAUCUAUUUUUGACUGCUAGGGGACGUAGACGUGGCAUCAUCAGGUGGCACCACUCCAUCAAGAAACGCAGAGGGCAAUCAAAGUCAAUUUAGUAAAAUUUAGGGGUGGUUUAGUAACUUCGUUCACCAGUGGAAGCAACCAGGCUCGCUUUAAAGUCUAGGUUUUUCUUCCAAACCCUUUUCUCUCUCAUCGUCACAUUUUCUGUGGAGGACAGCUUCACAGCGUCUCUGAGGUAUAACCCUAGGGUUUUUCUCUCUCUACAACUGUCUUUCUCUCUUGGUUUUUUUUUUUUUUUUUUUUUUUCUCAAUUUCUUGUCCCAUGUUUUCAAUGUACCACUGCUUUGAUCCAACUCCACUUUCUCGCUCAACACUUCGCAAAUUUUUUUCUGUAAUUUUUCUUUUUAUCAUAUUAUAUUAUAUAUAUAUAUUCGAAUUUGUGCAUGUAUAGUUCAUAUUCUGCAGCUGAUUAAUCUGAUAUUGCUCCGUAUGUGUAGUUGGUUUUGAUGCUGUAAUUAUCGGUUUUCAUUUACCAGGGCUUGUGAAGUUGGGCUAGGGUUUAGGGUUUGUGGUUUUAUUCAAUUUUGUAGUUUAUUACUUUCUCUUACUCGUGUCUAUUUAGAUCUAUUUGUUUUUUCUUUCAUUUUCUCUAGUUCGAAUUCGUUUGCUGAUCUUAAUCCUUGUCUUUUUUUUUUCUUUUUGAUUGUUGAUGCCCUCUUCAUUCAUGUUGGUUUUGAAAAAAAAAAGGAUGGUGAGAAUUUUGACUUAGUGUCUGCCUUUGUAUUGUUUUGGUCAUAUGGUUUGAAAGAAUGCUAGAAUAUUUUAGGAGAAGCUGAUUGAUGGCUAGGUGAUGUUGGGAUAAAAUACUUGCUUGGCUUAAUUAGGUCUUGGUGUCUAAAGAAUUUAUGCGGAAUGCUGCUCUUGUGUAUUUUGAGGGAUUAUAGGGCGGUAUACUGCCUUGAGACCUGGCUCAAGUGGUAAAGGUAGGGGAGAGUUUGUAGAAGGUUCCAGGUUUAAGUCCCAACGGGGAUAAAAGAUUUUACCUAUCAGAAAAAAAAAAAGAGGGCAGUGUACAGGAAGGUGAUCUGUGGUGGGUUUAGGUUGGGUCCAAACCCAUCAAAUUUGUUUUUCUUUAAUUUUAAUUUUGCUUCUUUUAUGUUUUUGUUGAACUCUAGCCUUCCUUUUUUACAUUUGUGGUUCUUUUCAACAAAAUUAUUCUUUUGUUUUAAAAAUAUAAGCAUUUUUCCUGCAUAGUAGACUCCAUAUCAAAUCCAAUUCUAUGCAAUCAAAUAUAGUGUAAGGCAUUGAUAAAAAAUGGAGGGAAAGAGUCCAAGACUUCGUAACAAAAUGGAGUACUAAGACAUUGCACAUCUUACAGGUUUGCUUGACUCAGUUUACAAUGUUCAUGUGAUGGAGGAAUGUUGUUCGUAAAUUAUUCAAAUUCAGGCAUAUGUCUUCACUAUCUUAAGACAUUCUGAACCAUGUCACAGUAUCUAUGACAUGGGUAUUUUUGUUCCACACAUCUUGAACUUUCUGUGCGAUGUAGUUAUUCUAUAUGCCUAUAACAGAAUUUUUUUGUAUGACAUGGGGUUCAAUUGCCUGACACUUUUGGAAACCUUGCUGAAAGUUGGUUGACAUUUUUUGUUGUUAUAGUUGAGCAAUGUUGCAUUUUUAUCUGCUACCAAAUUAAAUUGGUGGUGCUUAUUGACUCCUGUUUAUUGUGUGGUCAGGUCAUUAGUAGUGGUGUCUUGACUCUGUGAUAUUGGAAAACUAAGAAAAUGACCAAGAAGAAGAAUCCAUUGGUCUAUCUAGAUGUGUCUAUUGAUGGAGAUCCAAUUGAAAGAAUGGUUUUUGAGGUAUUGUUUUUUUUCCAAUCUGAUAAGUGGAACAUCAAUUGAGUUUCUUCUGUCUAGUUGAUUGUAUAUGUUUGUUAUUUGCAUUUAUAGUCUGUCUAUUAUUUUUUAAUCAUUUGCUAUCUUCCCCCAAAGUGAACCAUGAACAUUUAAUUGAUUUCCUGUUUUUCUUUUGGGGUGGGGGUUUGCAGCUGUUCUCUGAUGUUGCUCCCAAGACUGCAGAAAAUUUUCGUGCACUCUGUACAGGUAACAUAUAUGUGAACAAGUAUUUCUAAGAACUGCACCUUUCUUUCUCUAUUUGUAGCAGUUAUUUUUGCUAUUAUGAUUAUGAUACAUAUUAUAAUGUUGUGGUAUUUAAUUUGUGAUUUGUUCAUGAUUCUAGAUGCAUUCUCUGUUUUCCUUUUCUUGCAGAUCUCCUUGUAUGGAUUACUCCGUCUAAAUUUAUAAGUUCAUUUGGGAUUUCUUUCUCCUUUCUUUUGUAGGGCCUAAUUUUCAAGUGUGAUAUUCAUUAAAAAGAAUAGUUGUUUGAUUUCUUUGACUUGUAUUUUUCAGGUGAAAAAGGAAUCGGUCCCAAAACUGGAAAGCCACUGCACUAUAAAGGGUCCUUCUUCCAUCGCAUUAUCAAAGGAUCAAUGGUUCAGGUAUGUUUUUCAGACUCAUUUUUAUGCCAAGAUUUUGGUUCAUAGAUUGAUUCUGGUUCAUAGAUUGAUUCUGGUUCAUUUGCAUGUGUCCUUCAUUUUCUGGUUGAGCAUGGCUUAGAAGUGGUCUUUGUCUUUUAGUCAGUUACCCUUUUUUAUGCUGUAGGAUACAGGGCUGAUGGUCACGACUGCUUUUCUUGUGAUGUAGUUUUAAGGUUGUACUUACUGAGUUGUCCAUCCUCAAAAUUUUUACUAAAAUUCACCAUGCCUCCAACCCAGUUUCAUACGCCUUUUCAAUUUGUUGCUUACCUAUGGAUUAAUGGUUGAUUUUUAUUCUGCAGGGUGGCGAUUUCCUUAGACGAGAUGGUAUGCUUUCUUCACUUGUCUCAUCUGAACUCGAGAAUAGCAUCUUUCUUUGUGUUUGUGUAGCAAAAUUAACGUAUUGGAAGGGAAACUUGUUAAUGUCUGGUAAUGUGAUCUGAAUUCGAAAUUGGUAGGGCACUGGCAUUUUUUGGUUAUCAGUCUCAUUACUGUAAUCUGUUUGGAGAAGAAAUCAGGUUGUGAGAUGGUAUGAAAUGGCUUCAUGGAUUUUUUGGGCAUUGCCAAUUGCUUAAGUAUGGUGAUGAUGGACAAUGCAAGGAAACCACUUUGAAUUGGAACACAUGUAGUCUCUCAAUAUUUUCAAGGCUGGUGACUGACAGAAAUGGUGAAGCUGAUAUAAAAGCUCUUUUUUGUUUUCCAGUGUCUGUUAUAACCAUUGCACCUGUUCUUAUUUCUGGAAUGGGAAAGCAGUUGUUUGCUGAACCACCUUGACCAGAUAUGAUAAAUAAUUUAACUCUCUUUACUAGAAUUUGGAGUGAACAAACUAAAUAUCCAAUUAACAUUAUCCAAUACCACUUCAAUAAUCAACUAUAGUUGAAUUGAUCCAUGCCAAAUUCUAAUCUAUGUACCAUUUUUGGAGAAAGAGCAACCUCAAUAACAGUGAUUUCUUGUAUAGAUCUAUGACACCCAUUUCCCCUCCUGUUAAAGUUGCUUAUUUCAGGCUCAUGUUAGUUGUGAUUUUCCUGCCACUGAACACAUGCCUUCGGCAGUCUGUCUCUUUUGUUUGUGAUUGUGCAUUUGUAAAGAGAGGAAUUUCAGGAUUUCAAGGGAUUUAGAAGUUCCAUUCCCCAAACUUAAAAGAGCUCACCUACUCUGGCUGUAGUCUACACCAGUGGCUGCCCUUUAUGGCAGGAGGCAUCCUUUUCUAGAUUUUCAUGUGUAGUUUGGGUUGUUCUUGUGCUUAAGGAACGUUGUUCUGUUUAUGUUUUUUUUUGGGAGAAUUCAAAGCAGGCUCUUUGUGUGCCCUGCACUCCCUCUGGUGCCUUUUCUUAAUUUAUUCCUUUAUCUAUAAAAAAAAUGGCUAGUAGUUGAUAAAUUUGUUUUUUUAAUAAGGUUCCAUAAAAAUUAGUUGGACUAGGGUUGGUAAAGCUACUUUUUUUUUCUCCUGGGAAAUUUAACCCCAAUAUAACUGUUUUUCAGAAUGUACUUCACUAUUGGUGCCACGGCUAUGAUUAGUCUAUUUUUGCCACUAAAUAUAGGGAAACAGCCAUAACUGUGGAUAAUGAACUAGCUAGGCUGUUCUUCACUAUGUGCUCCUCAAAAUACCUCCCCCCCUUCCCCCACCCAAAAAAAAAAAAAAAAAGAAAAGAAAGAAAAAACCAAAUGAACAUCUUUUGAGUGUAGUAGUAGUUUGAAUUGUUUUGUCCUAGAGGACUUGUGCUUUUGAGGCUUGCCUAAGCUUAGUGAAUUAGCCUUGAGGCUGUCACCUCAGUAAAGGAUAAGCCUCAUCCUAUUGAGGCUUACAACGUUGAGGUUGAAGCCUCAAAUAUCCAAUAGGUUUAAUGAGUUUGGUGUCUUUGUGGGCUUUUGGUAAAUAUUUGUGAGAAGUUUAAGCAAUAAUAUUCAAUUGGUUUUAAUGGGCUUUGUGCUUUUUAUAAGUUUCAUCAUGAGUUGAGAGUAGGUUGAACAUUUUACAAAAUAAGGGUUUAGUUGGCUUCUAUUUGACCAUUUCAAAGGAGGGGGAAAAAGAGAUUGAGAAGAAGAAAUAGAGGAUUUAUUGGUUAAUAUUUAUUUUGUUAGUGAUAAAUAAAGAAGAAUGACCAUUGGAAUUUAUGGAGGAAGAAGAAGAAUGGGCAGAUUUUUAUAUAUCUACGUAUAUUCUUAUUUGCCUAUCAAAAAUUAAAAAAAAAAAAAAAAGAAGAAUAGGCAAAUAUUAACAUUGGUGGGAAGGAUGAUAGGGCAAUUAGAUAUGAGUAUCUACUUGGAGGAUCCUAUUAGUGAUAGUAAUUAGAGUAUUGAAGACUAUUUGAUGAAACAAUAAGAAAAAGUUAGAUUUUAGAAGAGGGAAAUGGGAACUAAAUUAGAACUAUUGAUGACAAAGAGCUAAUUUUCUUAUUAUGAAUUUAUAGUUUUCUUAUUAUUUAAUUUUCAUGUGAUUUUAUUGGUGUUUUUUUAGGUUGAGGCUUACAUCUCUCCUCAUUUGGGGUAAUAUGCUUCAAAACUGCAUUUAGCCUUUUAAAACAUAGGUCUCCAUUAUUCUGAAGUGAAUCCUGCUUGACCAAAUCUAAGGUCUUCCUUACUCCUUUAAGUUUUAAAUAUUUGGUUAACAAUCAAGCAGUGAAUAUUAUUCGGGUAAUGAUUAUUUUUACCCUUCACUUGGAAAGUUAUCAUUUGGACAUAUAAGUGCCAUGGAAGUUCCUUGUUGGCUUUUCAUGUGCUUGGAAAUUUAUUUCUUAAAUAAUGUAUUUUAAUGAAAAAGGAUUGCUUUUUUUGUUUGGCAGGAAGUGGUGGUGAAAGCAUAUAUGGUGGAAAAUUUCCAGGUAUCCAUCAUCUGUCAUGUUUAUUUUUCUUCUGGCUCCAAUUAAUCUUGAUGCUACUUGUAGGUAGUGUGUAGAGUUUCUUUGGCAAUGCAUCUUUUUUCUUUGACUUGAUUUAUUUUUCUGCUAGUUCUAUAAUUAAGCCUUCCUGCUACAAGUAGGCAGUGAGUAUAGUUUUUAUGGCAUUCAUCUGUUUCCCUUUUUAGUGCACUUUUUCGCUUAUACGUUUUUAGUCUUUUUGGUGUGCUUCUUUCUAUCUGUUGGAUGGGAGGGGUUUGCGCGUGUUGUGGCUUUAGGCUUCUUCCAGUUGUGUGGUUUGGAAAGUUGGUGAGCUUUGAUUAUAAUAUUUUUCAUUAUAUUCACAACUUUUGUUAUAUCUUUAUUUUAUCAGACAAUUGCAAUUAUAUUUCAUUCUGCAUUUUGCAUGAAAGUAGGAUUGCAUUUUUGCAUGAGGCUUUUGUCCCAAUUAAAUUUGACAAUGCUAUUUCUCUUAAUGUGAUUUGUAGGGUUUAUAGAUAACUGUUAUAUCGAAGUCCUUGCUUGUUUAUUUGAUUUUUAGAUUGGGACCAUACCAAGGAUUUGACAUGUGCUAAAAGUAAGCAUGUUUUAAGUUUGAAAGUAAUAUUGAAUCUUUUGUCUUUUUUUCUUUUUUUGUAAUCUCUGGGGUAGUUAUCGCUUAAUAGCUCUAUUAUGCCCUAGAUUGUGUUAUGCCGUAGUAUUUACUUAUACAGAGGUGGUAACUCGGGAAGAUUAGACAAUCCUUAUCUAUGAAAGAGGAGAACAAAAAGGGAUUUUGCAGUCCUUGAUAUGUUUCUGAGGUUAAAGAAAUUUGCUGAUGGUGGUGUGACUAGGAAGUUGUCUGGUUCCUGGAUCCUAACUGCAAUGCUGAAAACUGAAAUAGAAGUUGAAAAAUAAUAGCUCAUUCGCUGAUCUUAUGUUUAAAAUGUUAUAAUUCCAAAUGAUUAUGUUACCAUUGAUGUAAAGUUUUGUAUCUUAACAUAUGCUUAGGUUUUUUUGUUUAACUGAAAAGAAAUAGGUAAAUGCUAAGGAUGGGCCAUAUUUAGGGAUGGCUUGUUACCAAAUUAUGAUGAUUUUCAUAAAAUACUAAGUGCAAGUCAUGGCAUUGUUUCAGAUGAGUCACCCAGGCUAAAGCAUGAUGGACCUGGCCUUCUGUCUAUGUCAGUUGCCGAUCGGGACACUGUUGGUUCUCAAUUUAUUGUCACCUUCAGUGCUAAUCAUCAUCUUGAUAGGUUUGUUUAUUUACUAGAUUGUUACAGCAUUUGGUUUUCUUCAAUGGAUGUUUGUCAGAUUGUUCUCAAUUUGGUUUUAUUUGUUUGGUACAUGAAGAAAUUCUCAUCUGCAUGAAACUGUUCAUUUUUGAAAUCAUUUAAACAGGAAGUAUGUAGUAUUUGGAAAGCUUGUACAAGGACAUGAAGUUUUGAAGAGGAUAGAAAGUGUUGGUGAUGAGGAAGGGAUACCGACUGCAACAGUGAAAAUCAUUUACUGUGGUGAAAUUCCCGAGGGUAAGAUACACAGAUCUGCUUACUGGAGAGUGGUGUUUACUGUAUUGACAUGGAAUAAUGUACAAGAUUUUGCAAUUGGAGGCCUUGUCUGGUUCCUUAGAUGUGGUUUCCUUUUUCUAAUUUUUGAAUGCUUAUUUUGAAUCCUGCCUUGUGGUUUUUUUUGCUUUCAUCACGGGCUAAUGAACUGUUCAAUGUCCUAUUGUAGUUUGUGUUUGAUAGUCUUUAUCGUUGUUAUUAUUAUUCUUAUGGUAUAUAAGAGAACAUCAUAGAUGAUGAAGAUUUGUACUUGGUGCACCUUUUCAAGUGCUUUUAAUAUAAUUGCUCAUUUUAUAUAUAUAUAUAUAAGCGGAUGAACAUUUAGUGAUACCCCUUUGCCCCCUCUAAAAUCCCUUUUUCCCAACCUUACACUGAUGUCACUUGGGGAAACCCUAUGGAUGCUAAUUGGCCUACACCCCUUGUCACUUUAUUAUGCAGAUACUCUCUCUCUCUUGCUUUCUCUCUCUCUCUCUCUCUCUCUCACACACACACACACACACACACAUGCACAUGCACGCACACACACACUGCUUAGAUGGCUAGGACUUGGGUGGGGGUGGGAUGAGGGGGGUUCGAGGUUUAACUCCUUGGAAAAAAGUUUACAUUUUAAAGAAGAACCUUAGAUUAUUUUCUGAGGGCUUGUCUGACAAUGGACAGUUGAUCACUCCUAUUUGAAGCAACAGAACACUUUCUCUUUUGCUUGUUGAUUUAAUUUGUGUGCGCACAUGUGAAAGGAAAUGAAAUAACUUGAAACAUAAUCCUUUGAGUGGAACAUAGGAUAAAUACCCAUGUACUUUUACAGUAUGGAAGUAAAAUAUUACAUCAAACAGAUUUUAUGUACCUUGGUUGGCUGUUUUCUUGGUGCUUGUUUAUAAAAUAAUUUUAUUGCAUAUGGAAAAAAUAUUUCACCAAACAGAUUGAACAUGAUACCAAGGAUUUAACAAGAGUUAAGGCCCCAAAAUAAAUAUGAAUGGUGAAGGAUUCAUGUAACCAAUAAAGCUUCAUUGUGAUUGUAUGAAUGCCAGAUUUUGUCUGGAUUUUGUUAAUUUUUAAGCCAUCUUAAAUUGCAAUUUAAGGAUUUUUGCAGCCAAAUCAUGCAGAUAAAACCUUGGUCUGGUGAUGGGUGAACUUGGUCAUUAUUCAUGAAUUAUAUAUUUGUAGGGUCUAGUGGACCUAAAUUUCUUGAGUGAUGUAGAACAAUACAUAGAUUGUUGUCUAUAAUUGGAUAAUGUGGGCUAGUUUCAUUGUUUACUUGAGUAGAUCGUGGAGAUUCAUUCUCACCAUUCUCUACUUAAGUCACCACACUUAAAAACACUUCUGGUUGUUUUGAUGGGUUUUAUUGUGAUUUUAGAGACAUUCAAUCAGUUUUGACUCCUGUCAUUGAGCAAGUUUUUAAAAUGUUUCUAAGUCAAUUCCUGGGGUCCUCGUCUUUUAGUUUUUGAGCAUGCCUAUAUUAGUCUUGCUUUAGAGUUUCUUUGGCUCUGCAUACCUGGCCUUGUACUUAUUUUUUGCGUUUUCUUCAAUGAAUUCAUAAUCUUUUUUGUAGUUUGAGGUUUCACCUUAUAUAUUUUUGUUGUUGCUGCUGCUAUUGUAAUUAUCUAUUGCAGUGUUUUUUGUCUGUUCAUACCCGACCUUAAACUCUUUUAUGGGUUAAUCAAUAAAUUGUUAAUCUUUUUGCAGUUUGAGGUUUCAUUUUAUAUCUCAUUGUUGCUGCUGUUGUUGUUGUUGUUAUUGCCAUUAUAAUUUGCAGAGUGAUUAAGAGGGUGUUGCUUGUUGUGUUCUUUCUUGUUCUUUGUGCUUUCAGGUGCUAUUUGUAUACGUCAUGUAUUCUUUGGUGCAUCCUUUUGGCGCAUUUUAAUUUAUAUGCAUUCUUAUAAAAAAAAACCAUUAUAAUUUGCAGUUAUUUUCUAUAUUUAUACUUGCUUGUAUCUAUUCUGUAGCAUUAUUUUCUUCUUUUUUGAUUGCUUGAUUUAAGUUUUAUCUUGUCUAGAGAAAAGGAAAUCAAUCAAAUCCAAAAUUGGAAAAGAUGCUUCUUCUGAUGCUAAUAGUCAUGAAGUGCGGCGGAGGGAGAAGCACAAGAGAUCUUCAAAAGAAAGAAGGAAAAAAAGAAGAAGAUACGAUACAUCAGAAUCAGAGUCUCUUUCUGAUACAGACACUGAAUCAUCUGAAUCUGAUAGUGAUUCUGACUCAGAAUCAUCUUCAUACAUAAGUUCUUCAAGUGAAGACAGACGGAAAAAAAGGAAGAGAUCUAAGAGAGACAAAUAUAGACGUGGAAAAAGAAGGGAUAAACGACGUGACAAAAAGCGCAAGAGACGUGAUAAGAAAUCAAAGCGCAGAUCAAAAAGGUAUGAUAGGCAUUGGCGAUAUAUAUUUAAUAUACCAAAGCGUUGUUUAUUUCCUGAUUCCUCUCAUCAAACUUUUGGGGUGUGACAUCUGCAUUAGAACAAUAGCCUGAUAUUCUUUCUUUUGAAAUCUCUUUUAAGGUCAUCGGAUAGUCUUACUGAUGAGGAUAGCAAUGGUAAAAGUGGCAGUAGCUCUGCUGAUGAUGGCACUGAUGUUCGAGGGCCAGAUUGCAACCCUAAAAAACCUCCUCAGCUAAUAGGUAUUGCUUUGAACUUUUUUUUUAAUAAUGAACAGAAACUCUUUCUUGCCUUUUCUUUAUUUCUUGAUUGUUCAUAUAUUUAUUUAUUUUUCCUAUGGAUUUAGUCUAGUUUUCUUUUUAUAUGCACCAUAUGUUUGUCUUCCUUUUUUUAAUAGCCGUUUAUGUGUCUUCUUAAUGUUAUUUACUUUCACUUGUCUUUCUUGCAAAUUAUAGCUCCUUAGGCAUAAUGAAUGCUCAAUAAAAGUUCUCUCAUCCACCAGAUCUUGCAUGUAUUUUUCAAAUGUUCAAUAAAAGUUCUGUUGCCCACCAGAUCUUGCACAUAUUUGUCAAUGUAUAAAGGAUUAACAUUAUUUAUAUGUUUGAAAAAUUACGUGAGGUAGAUUAUUGACAUUUCAUUUGUUUUUAUGAUUUAUAUCUUGAUUUUGGCAUGAACUGAAUUUUCUUUUUUCAUAUAUAUAUAUAUAUAUAUAUAUAAAUUCUUCAACAAUAUUGUUGACUAUAUGAUCAACACCCUGAUACAGUGAGGAUUGUAUUUAUUUGAUUUUGUUUUGAGUUUUUUGUGAUAGGUGUUCUUAAUUUAUUGGCCUUUUUUUUUUUACUUGUAUGUGAUUGUUUUUGUACAAAUUUCUCCAGCAGGAAAUGGAUCUCCUGUAGUUGAGGACAGAGAAGCUGUUUCCACUCGUCAUAAAAAGGGGGAGGUGGCUGAUGUGCUUGAAAAGGAAGAGGGUGAAUCACCCAAGGAAAACGGAGAUAGGCGGAGCAAUGGCAUUGAAGAAGUCAAAUCUGAUAGAAGUGCAGAAAGACAACCUGAUGUUGUAGAUGAUCACCCAGGAAAAUCUAGGUCUACUUUCCAUCCUCCUCACACCUCAGUUAUUCUUUAUGCUAACCGAUUCUUCCAGAUCCGGUAUUUUAUUAAAAGUUGAUGAGCAGGAGCCGAAGCAUGAGUCCCAAAAGGACCAUGAGUAAGAGUAUGAGUAUUAGUCCAAGGAGGAGUCUGAGCAAGAGCCCAAGUGUCAGCAGGAGUCAAAGUGUUAGCAGAAGCACUCCCCGCCCACCAAGAAGCAGAACUGUGAGCAGGAGUCCAAGUGUUAGUAGAAGGGCCCCACUGAGAAGCAGAACCGUGAGCAGAAGCCCAGCUCCAGCUAGAAGUGAUAGCAGCGGGAGCCCAGCUAGAAGCCUCAGCAGAAGUCCAGUGAAGGUCAGUAGAGGAAGAAGCUUCAGUAGGAGCCCAGUGAGGACCCGAACUCGGAGGAGCAUUAGCAGGAGCCCGGUUAGGUCACUGUCUCGAAGAAGUCCAAGCAGGAGCCCACCAAGAACCUCAUCAAGAAAAUCAGUUAGCAGAAGCCCUGUGAGGAUUUCAAAAAGUGGUGUCAGCAGAAGCCCUAUUAAAUCCUCCCGGAGAAGCAUUAGUAGAAGCUCUGGCAGAGCUCCUUCAAGGAAAAGUGUGAGUCGAAGCCCAAAUAGGGUGCCUAGCAGGAAUAAUCGUCGCAGCUAUUCUAGAAGUCCUGCAAGCUCGGGGCGUAGGGCAAGGUCACCUGCUUCUGAUCGUUCAAGGACUGUGUCAAGAAGUCCUUCCCCGGAUGGGUCCCCCAAGCGCAUCAGAAGGGGACGGGGUUUUAGUGAGCGAUACUCUUAUGCACGGCGAUACAGGACUCCAUCUCCAGAUCGUUCUCCAGUACGGUCAUAUCGUUAUAAUAACAGAAUUGACCGUGACAGGUAAUGAAGCAACCUACUUACGUGAGUUUUUUCAGUCAUUUGAGUGAAUGAUUUUAUACUGUAGUAGUUUAUGGUGCAUAUUUGUUCUUUGUUGCUAGAUAUCCAUACAGGAGGUAUGAUCGAUCACCCAGGCGUUAUAGAAGCCCACCAAGAGGAAGAACCCCUCCUAGGUACGUGAUUUUCCUAAACACCUCCAAUUCCCUUUGUUCUUCUGGCUUUUUGGUUGAUACUCACCCAAGUUUCGUGAAAUAUGGUAUUUGAUGCAAAACACGUGUGCCCGCACACACACACUCUGGCACUUAAUUAAAAUGUGGUCUGUUAAUUUCCAAUUUCCACUUGUGUACGAUUGAUUGUACAGAUGUAAAAGUGUAUUUCUUGUUCAUGGCAUCAUGGUGAUUUAUUCUUCAUGCCACAUUUGCAGAUACAGAGGCAGGAGAAGUAGGACGCGGAGUCCAAGUGCUUCACGUAGCCCAAUCCGCUACCGUAAACGACGUUAUAGUCGUAGUCCUGUUCGCAGUCGAUCCCCAGUUGAGCCAUCUAGAUACCGUGUCUCCCCUCGCCCUGAGAAACGGAGGUCACCAUCUAGGAGCAGAAGCCCAUCAGCAUCUAGAUCCUCACUGGAUUCCCAGUCGCCCAAGAAAGCAAGCAAAGAUGAGUCAAGAUCAUCUUCUGAAAGUCCAUCUGGGAAGAAGGGCUUGGUUUCAUAUGGUGAUGGGUCUCCAGAUUCUGGGCAAAGGUGAGAGAAUGUAGUAGUGGCUGUUGUAGAGAUGGCUGUCUUUGUUGUCUAGGAUGAGGGAGCACUCGCGGUUUUUGCCAACUGGGACUGUGGUCACUGUUUCUUUUUGUUGUUAUUAGAGCGUAUGGGCGGUUACCGGAUUUUCAGACUUUGGAUUUAGAUUUAGCUAUUGGCUUGUUUUAUAAUCAAAUAUGUUGAAUAAUGGUAUUACUGGGAUUAUAUUAGAUCAGCAUCUGGGAAUAUGGAUAUUCUCCAUUUUGUAUGGUUCUUUCCUUAUGGUGGUCUAAACAAAUUUGAGGUGUUGAGAUCUCCCAGGUACUGUUUCUGAAUUUGGUUGUUUAUGGUUAACCUGGAUUAACUUCUUAAACUUAAAUAGCUAAAUCAAUUGCUAUUGUAUUUACAAGAAUAAUCAAUGAAAGGUGGUUUAAGAUUUACAUGUAAAAAGCGGUAAGUGGCUUUAAUGCGACCUCAUUUCCCUGUUGGGCUAUGAAUGCUGCUGUUUAUUUUGUGCCCAAAACUUUCGAUUAACAAACAUUCUUUGUCAAAAUACAAAAUCUAUAUGAAAUGUGGGACAAAAUGCCUUUAUCAGGGUGCCACGUCGGAUGACGUUAUCUCUUAUCCAAUCAGCCCAUGUUCUCCAUACUUUCCCUUCUUUAUCCUCAAUGAUUCCACUAUCUCCUUCUUCGACCAUUUUGAAUUUCAACCCUUCAUCAUCUUGCAAGCUUGACUAGAACCAUUGCAGAUCAUCUUAAACCACUUAUUGCUCUCCGAUCUUUGGCUGGUCUUUGAAUUUGAACUUUGGUCUUUCGUUCUAGGCUGCAGAUAAUCACAUUUGGAUGCAGACUUUGAUCUUCUCGAAUUGCACCAGGUAGAGGAGCAAUUCCAAGGGUGCCACUACAAUGAGAGAGGGUUAAUAAGGCUUGUGAUUUCGUUGCCUAAAGGUUUUCUAGUCCUAAUGCUUGAUUGUCAGUGAAGGCAUUCAGUGAUGAAAAAGGGAAAGAAGUUGUUGGUGGUGUUGUUUCUUGAGUUUAAAAAAUAAGCAAAUUAGAUGUAGCCCAAAAUCAUCAAACAAGAAACAAAAUAGAUAGGAAAAAGGUUGCUUAUCAGAAUAAGUUCAACGAGGCAUGACAAACAUUGUCCUCAUCUUCAAAGAUAUCAUCCUCGGGCAAAAGUAAUUAAUGUUUUACCUUCAAGAUUCAACAGUCAAAUAAAUAUAUUCCUAGGUGCAUUAGGUAGGUGAGAUGUUGUGUAGCUUAGUUUAAAAUAUAUUCCUCACGGGUGGAUCAGUGGGGCUGCAGUAGACUGGGAGCAGCACUUGUGGGUGUAGCCUCGGGUGGAUAGUUACAGCAAUGUGGGUGUUGCAAAGGUGGAUGCUGCAGUCGGGUUACUGCAAAUGGAAGAUGCAGCGGGUGAUUAUUGCAGUAGAACUGUAGAAGCAAGCUGCAGUAUAGAAGAGCAGCACAAAGGAGCUUCCAGUUGCAGCACACAGGUUUUUCAAGUAAUUACCGCGUCUUUGAUAGCAGCAAGGGGCACAUAGAGAGAAAGUGGGAGACGAAAAAACUAGAGAGAGAUAGCUGUAGAGAAUGAGAUGCAGUAGAACUUUGAAGGGGCUGCCUUUAUAUAGGCAGAGGACUGGAUGGACCUCUCCAAAAAUUUCUUAAUUGCCACAGUUUUUUUUAUGGGCGAAGACAUGGUCAUAGGAAGAGUACAAAUAAUUUUUAUUUUUAUUUUUGGGAAGAGUUAUAUUGGGAAUUAUUUUUAUUUUAUUUUAUUUUAUUUUCUUAGUCUUAUAUUUUUGGGAAAAAUCCUAUUGAGAAUUAUUUUUAUUUUUGGGAUUGUGCUAGUAGAAUCCCAUUUCACUUAUAAGUAGAUUCCCCUUCCACUCUCUAAAUAUGAAUACCAAUUUUUCAAAAACUCUUUUCAUACAUCUAUUUGGAGGAAUUUUUUCAAAACCCGUACACAUCUCGCUUUCAAAGUGCACCUAUUGGCUGUUGAAUUCUGGAGGUAGACUACUGGUACUCUAGUGCAUUGAGUUCGUUUUUGAGGAGGGUGGAUCUAUUUCAAAGACAAUAUUUGUCACACCUCAGCCAAUAAGUCUUUCUUCUUAUUAAUUAUAUUAUUUGUUUGUGACUUUUGAGCUAGUUAUUUGUUUCCAUACCCUUAAAUCCAACCAUGGUUAGAUGGGCUAAGUCAAAGUAGUUGGCACUACCUAAACUCAUGCACUUCUCCUAUAGGUGGUGGUUUCCAUGGUGUUGAUGUUUAUGUUGAUAAUUGUGUUGCUUGUGAUUUAAGUCUUGAUUUUCGAAACUAAAUCCAUGCUUGUGAUUUGUGGUUGUUGUUGCUUUGAUGUUCCAAGUUCUAAAACUUGAGCCAAAUGGUUUUACUAGUGCAUAUUUUUGUUAUAUGGAUUAUGACUGAAUCAUGGUUAAGACACUUGUGCACACUUCUAAGCAUACAAAAGUGGAUUUUGAACCAUUGCAUGAUAAAAUUUAAUUGAGCGUACAAGGCUAAUGAACCAACCAUAAAAGGGGUGUACAUGCAGAUUUUAUUGUAUGGAUUAUGACUAAAAAUAUGUAUAUGGAAUUUGAACAACUGUGGAAGGUAUUUGCACUAACUAUAUAAAGCUAAUGAACUAAUUGUACAAGGCAAAAGAAUUGACUGUAUAAAGGGUAUAUAGGAUAACCUAUUUUAAAGGGAUUAUAAUAUUUGCAAUCAAUUUCCUUACUUCUUUCCCUCACUUAAGGACCACUCGCUUUCACGAAAUACAUUGGAGUUUCGAAUCCCUACCUCCUAACUCGGUUUCUUAUUUGGAAGCAAUCGGUUUAUGAAUUCCUUCUACCAAAUUAUCGGAAACAUGGUUAAUAUACUUGUGCACAUGAACUCAUAAUUUAAAUGUUUUUUAUAUUCUAAGGCUAUGUUUGGUUUCUAGAAAAUUUGAAGGAAAAUGUAAAGGAAAGAAAAUAUAAAAGAAAAAGGGAGAAUUAUCUUUUGGGGGUAGAUGGACCCCCAAAUUAACAAAAGGUUCAUAUAACUCUUCAAAUUGAGUUGAAUGAUAUAAAAUAGUAAUAGACAAAUAUACCCUUUAAGAACACAUAUAAAAUAUUUUAUAAAAUUAAGUUAAAUAAUUUUUUUUCAAUAAUUUUUUUUUUCAAAAAUACUAAAUUAAAUAAAAGUAGUUUUCAAAAAUAUUAAAUUAAGUAUUUUUUUAUUCAAAAAUAUUAAAUUAAAUUAAAGUAUUUAAAAAAAUUAAAUUAAAUAUUUUUUAAAUAUUAAAUUAAAUAAAUUUAUUUUUAAAAAAUAUUAAAUUAAAUAAAAGUAUUUUAAAAAAUAUUAAAUUAAAUAAAAGUAUUUUUUUAAAAUAUUAAAUUAAAUAAAAGUAUUUUUCAAAAAUAUUAAUUUUUUUUUCUCAAAAUCAACAAAGGGCAUUUUUGGAAAUACUGAAGGAUGAUAUCCUUCAACUCAAUUUCCAUACUUUCAUUGGGUCUUGGGCUCAAUUUGAAGAGUUAUAUGGAACUUUUGUUAAUUUGGGGGUCCAUCUACCCCCAAAACAUAAUUCUCCCAAAGAAAAAUAAAAAAAAAGAAAAAAUGAAGGAAAAUAAAAAAAUAGAUUAAAAGUUGAUAAAUUAUUUUUUUUGUUACUUCAAACUCAUUUUAUUUAUUUUAACUCAUCAAUAUAAAUAUUGAAUAAUUUAAAAAUACAUAAUUUUUAAUUAGUUUUAAUUAUAUUUGAUUUUCUUUGAUAUUUUUCAUAAAACAACCAAACAUAAAAAAAUAAUUUUUCUUUAUAUAUAUUUUUUUUCUUAGUAUUUUUCGAGAAUCAAACAUAACCUAAAGGAAUAUAAUACAUAGUUGGAGCUUGGUGUGUGAAUUUCCAUCAAAUGGUUAAAAUUUAGUGGCUAUCUCAACAUUUUAAAUUUGGUAAUAGAGGGUGGUUUCACAUGGGGUUUUUAAAAAGAAACGAAGGAAGAGUAUUUUAAGGAUUUUUGGAUGUUGACAUUUGAAAAUAGUCUUUUCACAUCUUCUUCUUCCCUUUUAGUCUAUUUACACAAAAUCUAUCAUUUUUAUGAUCAUUAUCAAAUUCAUCUACCCUUCAAGAUAAUUAUCUCAAACUAAUAAAGUAUUAGAUCAAAUUUCAACUUUAGUUGUUGAAUGUGAAUGGUAAAAUCUAGGUCUUUGAAUAAUAGUAUAAACGAAAAAAAAUGAAAUUAAGGUACAUAAUAUAAAUAAAUGAGAUAAGAUACAAAUAAUGAGAUAUGAAGAUAUAUAUAUAUAUAUAUAUAUAUAUAUAUAUAUAUAUAUAUAUAUAUAUAUAUAUAUAUAUAUAUAUAUAUGAUACGAUGAUGGUGCAUUUUCAAUAUUUAUAAAAAGUACACUUUAGUACGUAAGUGAACUUUUAUAAGAAACAUGCUAAUUUACCAUAAAUUUUCUAAUCAAUAUUAUUAGAUAAAAUUCCAAGAUAUUGCAAUUUUUAAUAAAAUCAUUUUUAUAUUUUUCCAAAAUUUUUAAUCUAAUAUUAUAAAAGAAAAAUGAAUUCAUCUUUUGAAAAGACGAAUUCAGUAUAGAAAGUGAACUCGUUUUUUUGGUACAAGAAGUAAAUUUGUCUUUCAAAAAGUGAGUUCAAUGCAAAAAUAAAAAAAGUGAAAUAUUUUUGUAUUUAUUUUUUAAACAACGCAUUUUUUUUAAAAAGAAAAUCAAGAAGAGAGAAUGAGGUUUCCAGGAAUGGAGGUGUUCAUACGCACACGUGCAAACCAAAUCCCCACACGUGUGACCCAAAACCCAGUGCAUGUUAAAACCGUGAAAUCUCGGACCCAUGAGUCACGUGUGUUAAUACAGAGCGAGACCAACAAAACAUUUUCCCUUCCGGAGAAACGAAGAGCAAAAAUGUGGAGAAGAUUGGUAUCAUCAUCGACGUCAGCUUCCCUUAAAACCCUAGCAUCGUCAUCGCGCCGAUCCUCACUGCCGACACUGGUCCGACCACUCACCUCUGUCUCUUCAUCUUCUCCUUCUAAUACGACUACUUUUCCUUCCCACAGUCCUAUCUCCUCCCCUUCCGGUAAUUUUCUUUUCUUUCUCUUACUUUUCUCGGCGAUCAUAUAUAUAGAUGGUUUUGAAUAUGUAUCGGAAAAGAAAAGAAAAUUUGCGAUCGGUCCAACAAAGUGUUACGAAACCGAAAUUUUGAGUGUGUGAUAGAAAACGAAUCCCUGGAUUCAAGUGAAUCUGUGGUAAUAGUUUGGAUGCGAUGAAUUUGAUUUGAUUUUUUUCUUUUGAGUUUCUAAACAGUAGGAUUCCUAUCCCACCUAUUUUUAUUUGGCUCCUCUAUGAGGUUUAGAUUUGGCUGAUUUAAGAUAUUUUGAUGUUCUCUUUUGGUUGGAAAUGUAAUUAUUGUUUUUAUUUUAUUUUGAAUAGAUUUUCUCUCAAAGGGGGGAAAGAAGGUUGAAAAUGUUAUACCCAUUGCAACCGGACAUGAACGCGAGGAGCUUGAGGUUUAUUUUUUGUUUGGGCACAUACACAUACAAAUGCAAAAAAUUUUGCAUUAAUUUAUCAUUUUUAGGAUUUGAUCGUAUGACGCUGAUUUAUUUGAUUUAUUUAAUUCAGGGAAGGACACUUCUUGAAGCGAAUUAUCCAAUUGGUCCAUUUGGCACUAAGGUUUGUUUCAAUUAAGUUUUUCUUAACUUUGUCACUUUGUAUUUUUAUUAUAAGGUAUUCAAUGGUGUUUAAUUUCAUUGCUAUCCAUAAAGAAAGGCUUUCAAUUGGGAUGAAAUGUUGGUCGCAUUUUGCUGCAUACAAUUGGAUUAAAGUUGUAACUCAAAUUUUAUGAAAUUUAAGAAGUUUCAUUUCUUCUUAGGAAUUGUUUUCAUGGAUUUAGGUUAUAUGGAAUUUAAAACAAAGUCUAAAUCUAUUGGCAUGUAAAGAAAGCAAACAAUGGUGAUACAAUUGGGGUCUCUAGUUCCAAUUCCACAGCCAUAAUUCCAUAGUCAGUGAGAUCUGUGUCCUUGUGUCUAGAUUUUUGAGGAGCUGUUGUGUUCAAUAAUCUCUUUCAAGGAUUUGUGGAAGGGUGUAAUUGAUUUGCUAGUCCGUAUGAUCUGUGUCCUUGUGUCUAGAUUUUUUAGGAGCUGUUGUGUUCAAUAAUCUCUUUCAAGGAUUUGUAGAAGGGUGUAAUUGAUUUGCUAGUCAGUAUGAUCUGUGUCUUUGUGUCUAGAUUUUUUAGGAGCUGUUGUGUUCAACAGUUUUCUUCUGUCAAGUCUGACUGUGUCAGUAAAGGCCAACCAUUAGGGGGUGUGGCAGUAUGAGUGCCACAUAGGAUAUAGCCCAAUCUAUAUCAUUACAAUCCCUUACUGUUCUCUUGAUAUUGGUUCAUUGUAUACUGUACAAGCUUGGAUCAUGAAAAAUCCAAGGAAUCUGAUUGCCACCUGCCGAUAACUGGUAAGCAUCUAAUGCUAUUGGUCAAAGAAACCAAAUGAUUGAGGAUUUUUUUUGUCUAUUAAAAAUAUGGCCCAUCAUCCAAACUUGUGAGAAAUGAGAAUGAAGACUCUAGACAUGAUAUGCCCAAAAUAGUAUGUAUUGCCUUUUGUCUUUGCAAAGCUAGCCCUUUUUUAAAGCAAUGAGCAAUCUUAGAGAUGCUUUGCAGUAAACUGACCUAUGGCGAGGAAACUCUGGAUCGUUUCACUGGAGGUUGUUUUCUUCAUGUACAGAUGUCUCUUGCUUUCUUUAGCUUAUGCCAUAUCCUGCUUCCCCUCAUUGUUAUUUUCCUAAAAAGAGCUAUUUAAGAUGGGCAUGUUUCUGGGACUUUAGACAUGCAUUAUUUCAGUAUUUGAUGAUAAAUAAACAUGUAUAUGCACAAAUUCUCAUUAUCUGCUUUAUGGGAGCAGAAGUAUCUACAAUUGUUGCGAAAUUUUUUUAAUCUCUCUCUAUCAAAAAACAGUUCUUGAUGAUGAUGAUGAUGAUGAUGAUAAUAGUAAUAAUAAUAAUAAUAAUAAUUCUAUAUGUCCGUGUUCCAUAGCCAUCCAACCUUUAUUCAACUAUUCUGAUAAUAAUAAAAAUCAUGUUUAUUAAACUGUUCCAAUAAUAAUAAAAAUAAAAAUCUGUGUUUAAUAAUUAUAUAUCUCUGUGUUGUAUAUCCAUCUAAGCUUUAUUCAACUGUUCUGAUAAUAAUAAAAAUCAUAUUUCUAUAUCUCUGUGUUCCAUAUCCAUCCAAGCUUUAUUCAAUUGUUGUGAUAAUGAUAAAAAUCAUGUUUCUAUAUCUUUGUGUUCCAUAUUCAUCCAAGCUUUGUUCAACUGUUCUGGAUUUAUUUCUGCCAACAGAGGGGUGCAAUGGCUGUUGGGAUGGAAAAACUUGGUAGUGUGUUAUGUUCACCUUGUUUUCUUGCAUAUCUUCCAAUUUAGAGAAUCCCAUGUUAAGACUGUCAUGGUAGAGAUGUGUCUGACAACUUUUACUGUGUAUGUCCCUUUUUGAAAGCUUUCUUGUGGAACUUAUAGUUGCUCAAAAUCGAUGAUUUAUGCUGUUGGGAGUAUCGCUUUUUAAUAAGCAGUAGAUAGAAGACUAAAGGAAGGAAACUUUGUUAUAAUUAUUGUUUAGGCCACAUAAUCUCCUUGUUCUUUUUCAUGCCUAUGUAUGUUUAAUUCUCCAAUUGUGCUUAAGGUUAUCUGCAUGUUGAAUAAUUUAAAAGCAUACUCUUGCAACAUCCUUUGUAAAAUUGCAUUCGUAACUAUAUACUGUGGGCUGAUCAGUGAGAUGGUUGUACAAUGAAUUUUCAAAUCAUAUUCUCAUAUUUCUGGUUGUCAUGUUUUACUUUGUAGGAAGCACCUGCUAUUGUUAAGUCUUUCUACGACAGAAGAAUAGUGGGCUGCCCAGGUGGUGAGGGAGGUAAGACCCUCUUUUGUAUUCUUUUCUUAAUUUUGUCCCUUCAACUAAUUCUUUCAUGAAUAUGUUUGAUAGUGUGAUAAUUAAUUGUCUUAUGUUAUUGAUUAUAAUUUACAGAAGAUGAGCAUGAUGUAGUGUGGUUUUGGUUGCACAAAGACCAACCACAUGUCUGCCCAGUCUGUUCUCAACAUUUCAAGGUAAAAUAAUCAUUUUCCUCAAAAUUAGUCAUUAUUUUACUCUCAUUCUGUGUGUGUGUUUGUUUGGGGGGGAACCAAUUUUUCCACGUUUGAACAGAAAUUUCUUCAGGUGAGGAGGCUCCUCUCUCUCUCUCUCUCUCCCUCUUUGUGGGGGGAAUCAAUUUUUCAAUGUUUAAAUGAAAAUCAGUGUGUGUGAGUAUUUGGGGUGGGGGAGCCAAAUGGCUCUCUUUCUCUCUCUAUAGGAACCAAAUUUCAGACAGUAAUUAUCUGAGGUUGAAGGGUUACCUCACUGCUGGGCUUUGUUCUUUUUGCCAUCUUUAUUAUUAGUAUAUCUUAAAGCAGAAAUUUUUGGAUUUUAAUCAAUGGAGCUUUCUUAAUUUAUUCUUUUAUGUUUCACAGUUGGAAGUAGUUGGCCCUGGUGGAUCUCCUUAUCACUACUAGCAUUGAAGGCUUCCUGCUGGAAUAAAAUUUUGUUUGAUGAAGAGCUAGUUUGCGCUGUGUAACUUUGAACACUUUUCAGUUUGUUCUUUUUGGUGGAUUCUGAAUUCUUGGGAAUAUCGUGUCAGACGCGAUAUUUGGGUAGGUGAUUUUUUGGUUUCAUAGCCUAGUCAUGGACCGACUGGUCCUCAAAUAAUUCUACCCUUCUACCCUGGCACUAAAUAAUUUCUGUAUCCCAAAAAUUUUGGCUUCUUUUGAACUCAAUAUCUUAUUCUUUCAAUGCCAAGAUGCUUGUGGUAUCACAUACAGCUAUAGACUAACAAGAAAUGAAUUAUAAUUUGUUGGAACUUUGAUACUAUCGUAACAAUGUUCAAAAGUCAAAAACUGCUAAAAUAGGGUUGAAACAGACAAGACAGCCCAGAUAUGGAGGUUUCUUCAAUGCAAUAAAACAUUGGAACCAUAAAAUUUCGAGGGAUAUAUGCUAAAUGAUCAUCUUGGAUAAUAUUAGUAUUGUCUUAGAACUGUUUAUACGUGUCUGCAGCUCUGCUUUGUGAAACCACUGCAGGCAUAUGACACACGGUUCAACCAUGUCAGCGGCUCGGAUUCGAGAAACUAUUACUGAGUGUCUCUCUAAAGCUCAAUCAGACUCCCCAGAAGUUCAGCAGAAAGCUCUCCAAACCCUGGCUUAUAUCACCAAGGUGAGUCCCCAAAACAGGAAUUUGCUUGCGCAAUCUGAUGGAGCUAUACCUGCCUUGCUUUCCCUCUCCAGAUCCUCCACCACCCUCCAGGCUCUCUCUUUAUCCAUCCUUUUCUACAUCUCCCUAAACCCUAAUCUGAAGCAGUCUCUUGCAGAGAUGGAAACCAUUUAUCACCUCAACUCCAUAAUUCUCUCCUUAAGCUCCCCAGAAUCCAGCAGACUAGCUUCCUCUUUGAUCUGCAGCUUGGCAAUGCUAGACAAGAACAAGGCCAAGUUUGGGGUAGCAGGCACCAUUCAGUCACUGGUGACCGCAGUGUCUGAUCCUGGAUGUCCUGCUGCCCAUCAUCUCCUUAGUUCUCUGGCCGAGCUGGUGCGGUUCCACGGAAACUGCACCUUAGCAGUCCGCUCAGGAGCUGUACCGGUCCUGAUCCAAGUAGCGCAAAGCAAUAACAGUGAGGACCUGGCUGGAACUUCUCUUGCUAUUCUGGGACUCCUUGCUAGGUUUGAAGAAGGGUUAAACGCCUUGAGGAAAACUGACCAGAUUGUGAAUUCAAUGGUAGACGUGUUGAAAGGGAGGUGCAUGUUGAGUAAGGAAGGUGCCGCAGAAAUCCUCCUCCGGCUGUUCGAUGAAAGCGAGGGCUGUGUGAGAGAUGCUUUGAGGCUGCCGGAGUUCCCAACUGUGCUGGCUGAUCUUUCUAUACGGGGAUCAGCGAGAGCUCGAGAGAAGGUUAGUUCAUUAAUGAAGAAGUUGAUGGAGGCCGACAUGGACGCCUACGGGGAUGGGAACUCCAUAUUUUUAAAAUGGUAGUAGAGGCUUGGCUUUAUUUAGUCACAAGGUUGAAGUGAUUUCUCCUUUUCCAGGGUUUUUCGCUGUCUGGUCGUGUAUUUUCAGCAGCCAUAAUCAUGCUGAGAAUGCAGAUGAAUUGAAUAUGAACAUUGUUAUAUUAGAAUUGAACCGGUAGCACUGUAAGUUCAAUCAAUACAAGCACCUCUGGUUUCUUCCUGAGAUUGGAAGUUGGGUAUUAAUUUAGGUUCAGGUCCAAUCUUAUUCAAACUUCAUCUGCAUUCUACUCCAUAUCUUUGGUUGCAGAUGAAUUCUGCGAGUAUGGCCUCCCUUGGUAGAUAAGAAAAUGUGUGCAUCGAAGAGACUAUAAUCUAUACUACUUUCUUUUCCUUUCCGGGAAUUUUUUUUUUUUUUUGAGUGAAGAAAUGGGUGAUCUUUGGUUGAAAAACAUGAUGAAAACUACAUGAGAAUCAGAACAGGUCUUCUCACAAGCAUUUGAUGCAUCACAAUCAUCUUAAUAAUAAUGAUAAGAAUACAACUGGGUUUCUAUUCCAUUCUGGCCAAAGGGAUAGAAAACAAAAUACAUGAAGGAUUUUAGGAUACCUUGUUUUAAUCUUAUGAGAUAGAUCGAAGCCCAUGAUCCAUAUAAACCCUAACGAACCUAAAGAACAUGUUUCCGAUGAUAGAGAUUAAAAAUGAACAAUUCAUUUCACCAUCCAUAUAAACCAUAAUGAAUCCUAAGAAUAUUUUUCAAACUCCAGGGUUGAAAAUGGAAAAUUCAUUCCAUUAUUUAUUUAUUUAUUAUUAUAAUUAAAUUAUUUAUUGAAAAUAAGAAUAAGAAUAAAAAUUUAUUCGUAUCACGGGUUGCUUUCUUCUCAUUUUUAUUCUUACAAACCAAAUGCUGUCUAAAAAGUCAUAUGAUUUUUAUUAAUAUGACGCAUGGUAAGGAUUUUAGGAUACCUUGUUUUAAUCUUAUGAGAUAGAUCGAAGCCCAUGAUCCAUAUAAACCCUAACGAACCUAAAGAACAUGUUUCCGAUGAUAGAGAUUAAAAAUGAACAAUUCAUUUCACUAUCCAUAUAAACCAUAAUGAAUCCUAAGAAUAUUUUUCAAACUCCAUAAUAGGGUUGAAAAUGGAAAAUUCAUUCCAUUAUUUAUUUAUUUAUUAUUAUAAUUAAAUUAUUUAUUGAAAAUAAGAAUAAGAAUAAAAAUUUAUUCUUAUCACGAGUUGCUUUCUUCUCAUUUUUAUUCUUACAUACCAAAUGUUGUCUAAAAAGUCGUGUGAUUUUUAUUAAUAUGACGCAUGGUAAGCGAUUAGUCGUUCGAAAAUUAAAUGCCCCGACAUACUCAACUAAUUAUUGAAAACUUUUAGCCUAAUCUCCAUUUUGAACCAUUCCUAUUGAAUAAAUUAAUCCUCAUUUGCAGUAUUUAAACUCCUAAUAGCAGAGUGGUGGCAUCAGCAUAUUAGAGAAAAAUUGUAUGUCUCCCAUCUCAUGAUUAUUUAAAUGGAGAGGCCAUCCAUCAACUUUAAAUUCUUAAGAUUUUUAUAAUAUAAGUAGGAUUCUCCAUGUUGGGUUAUGUGAUGGUUGACUAAUUAAAGCAAUCCUUAAUCUAAUCUACAAUAAAAUUACUUUUCCUCGUGAUUCCCCAAGCAUUCAUACCUUCAAUAGUUGUUAGUUAGAGAUCAUACAAAAUAAUUGAAUGAUUUAGACAUUUGAUUCUAAUUAAAGUUUGAUCAAAUUUAUGGGUUAGAAAAUAUUCAAGUCCACUUUAUUGGAAUAAAAGUUAGAAAAAUGUUGUUUCCUAAAAUUUUUAUUUUGAUUUAUAUAUAAAUUAUUUAAUAUUUAAUAAAAUUUUUAUAAAUAUAAAUAUUAUUUUUUAAACAUUUAAUUUGUCUACAACAUAAAAUAAGAAACUAUCUAAUGAAACCUAAAAAAAUAAUUGGAGUUCCAUGUAUCACAAAAACCUAAUCCAAUGCUUUGAACUUCACCUCAAUGUGUGAAAAUUCAUGAUUGUGAGCUAAAAACUUUAAUCUAGAUCAUCCUUUUUGAAAGUGGAAAAGAUGACAAUAUGAAGAAAUGACCCUUCUUUUGAUCUUGAAGUAAUCCUGCUUUUUCUCUUGAAACAAACAAGAUCUGAGUUUACAUUAUGAAAUAACUAAGGUACCCCUUCAAUCUCGAUCAGGUCUACUUCAAUUUUGUCCCUCUCCCACUAUCUUUAGCCAGUAGUGGACGGCCAAGUGGGUUUUGGAAGGGAGUGACAAAUGUCACAUGAGAGCAUAUUCAUAUGAGAACAAAUAAAAGUGCACCCUUUUGGUGACGUAUGAAAUUUGGCAUCACACCUUCUUGACAUAGAACAGUAGAAUGUGAUUGGCCCCACAAAAAACAUACGCUUUCAAACUAUAAUAAUUCAUCCAUGGAAAAUGCUGGUUUUGAAAAUGAUAGCCACAUGGAAUUAUUCAUGAAUAUUAGGACAAAGUUGGAGUACUUUCAGCUUAUCAACCUCAACCCCAUUAUCAUAUUUGUUCCUUCUUUCAUUUUCUCAUAUUCCUUGCUGAUUAAUUUUAUUUUAUUAGCAACAUUCUGAAGUUUUUAAAUCAUAUUAGAUUGGAAGCUUGAGAUUGAAUCCAGUGUUCAUCCAGAAAGGAAUUUUUUCCCUUUUUUUUCUCUGAAUGAUGAACAGUUUCAUGGGAUUCUUAGAGAACAACAAUUAUUCUUGAUUUUAUAAAAUUAUUAUUACAUGUGACGUGAUUGGACAAGAUCUGUAAAAGCAUUUUCGAAAGGAAAUUAUUGAUAUAUUAUUUUGAAUUCACUGUAUUGUAAUUUUCCUAGGAAAUAAAAUAAUUUUGUCUGUGAAGAGGAGAAGACUGAAGACUGAAGACUGAUUCGAUUGAAUGAGAGAGAGGAGGGUUGUGGGGGAAGAGUAGGUUGAGAAUAUGCAGGUGUUGGGGGGGCAUCUUGGUCAGAAAAUAAAUGUAAGAAAAGGACCAGUUUUGGAUUUUUCUAGCGUCUCUAUGUGCUGGGGAGUUUUUCUCAUGUAUGAACAGACAAAAACUAAAGGAGGUGAGAGAAAGUUGUGUGAAGCAAAGAAAGGUAUUACAGAGAGGAAAGAGAAAAGCCCAUAUGCUUUUGGGUUUGUUCUAUCCCCAGUCCAGGUUGGUACAAAAAGCAUAAACCCCACUUCUCCUUUUCACAUCCAAAUUCAAUCACUUUUAUUUUUAUUUCCAGCAGAUCUUUACUCUGUCUGCAAGUUUAUGCUACUUCCAUCACUCUUAUUCCCUCUUUUUUUAAAUAAAAGAAAUAUGUAUUGCCUCACUAAUCAAAUGAAGAUUUGAGUAGUUUUGGGGUUGUAUAUCAAUCAAACAUUACAAAUAUACAAAAGCAAAUGGAAAAAUAUCUUUUUUUUGCUGUUAGUAAUAUUUUGAUUUUUUUUUUUUGUGUGUUUUUGCAAAUAUUCUUGGGUUAUUGUAGUUGAAGUGCUUUACUUUACCCACUGUCCACAAGCAUAGAUUCUUUAUGUGCAUUACAAACUAGAGAGACUGGUGGCUGGGUCGUUCAUUUUAUGCAUUGAUGUGCUUUGAUCUGUUGUGGAUUCUUUGCUCACAAAAGAGUGCCCGCUUUUCCUUUUGUCACUUUCUUUAUCUCUUCUUUUCUUGGGUGCCUUUCUCUUUCUUAUAAUUUUUUGAAGGUCUCAAGCAGUGCUCAAAUUGUGUAAGCAGUGAGUGCUUGAUGCAGAUUCAUGGCUUAUAUUCCAUUUUUCACCCUCUCAAAUGGGUAUAAAUAGAGAUGGUCAAUUUUGAUUUUUAUUCAUUGCAGGUGCUCUUCUCAAUCAUUGCAACAAGUGGUCUGCACAAUAUAGUCAUUUUUGUGGAAAAAUAAAAUGAGCUUCAAUAGCUCCACUAUGGGUUCUGGUUAGUUUUUUUUUUUUGAACCUUUUCAGUGUCUGGGUUUUCUGGGAGCAUACGAAGUGUGUAUGCCUGCUAGUAACUAUGCUUCAUCUUUAGGUCUUCUAAGCUUUGUCCUUGGCCUUCUGGGUUUUUGUUCUGAAAUUUGUUACUGCAAUAUUUCAGGUAGUAGAACUACUAGAAGAACAUUUGAGUUUGGAAGGACCCAUGUGGUCAGGCCCAAAGGGAAGCAUCAGGCCACUAUAGUUUGGCUACAUGGCCUUGGUGACAAAGGUUCAAGGUAUUAAUGCUGGUUUCUUAUCAUUAUAGUCUUCGCUGAUAUUGGCAUUCCUUUGGUUAUAAAUUCAAGAUGUUUCUUUCCCUUGUUUUCAUCUGAACUUUUUGUGAGGCAAAACCAUCGAGCUGCAUCUUAUAUACCUAGUUUGAGUAAUGGGAUUGAAGUGAGUUGAAUGUACAUGGUAGUUUGUUUGGUUAAGUUUAUACACAUUGUGUUAUUCCCUGCUUUCUAAGCACCAUUGAUGAAGUUCAAAGUCUUUCUCUUCGUUUUAGGAAUAUGCCUGUGUGAGAAUGGUGGACUGGUUUUGUUCAAAAGAAAAAAGGGAGUAAGAGAAUGUCAAUGUCUUGUCUUGUUCAUGUGGAGAAUUUUGAUGUUUAAUUAACUUCUUGAACCUUGUCUUCUUCUAAAAAAUUCACAUUCUGAUUGAUUUGAUGGGGGAAGAACUAUGUGCCAUGGAUUAUAUAAGAUAUCAUGAGCUGUCGUUUUCUUCCAUCAUCUCUCUUGAUUCUAAGUUUUAUUGGAGCAGCCUCGAAUCUUAAAACUGUAUAUGCCAAAACCUAAAAUGGGGGACCACUGUUUCACUGUCUUGCUUGUCCUUUCAGCUUUGCAAGAGUUAUACUAUUUAUAUUUAUAGUGCUAAUGCUUAAGUAUUAUUCCC